UAGAUUGCCCAAGACAAUUAGAAUUCUUAGCUCCUAAUUCUGACUGUUUUCAUCGAGGAAGCAUAAUCAUUGUGACCACGAGAAAUAAACGUUGCCUAAAUGUAUAUGAGUCGUAUUCAUCAUAUGAGGCUAAGGGAUUAGCACGUGAGCAAGCUAAGGAACUCUUUUGUUGGAAUGCCUUUCGAAAACACCAUCCAAAAGACAAUUAUGUGGACCUCUCUAAUCGUAUACUGGAUUAUGCUAAAGGCCUUCCAUUGGCUCUUGUAGUUUUGGGUUCUUUUCUCUUUCAAAGGGAUGUGGAUGAAUGGGAAAGCACAUUGGAUAAACUCAAAACAAACCCUCUCGAAGAUAUUCAAAAGGUACUCCAGAUAAGUUAUGAUGGACUAGAUGAUAAAUGCAAAAAGUUGUUUCUUGAUAUUGCAUGCUUCUUCAAAUAUAAGGAUGAAAAAUUUGUUACAAGAAUACUAGAAGGUUGCAAAUUCCAUCCCAAGAUUGGACUAAGAGUUCUUGAUGAGAGAUGUCUUAUCUCUAUAACGUACGGCACUAUAAGGAUGCAUGACUUGUUACAAGAAAUGGGUUGGGCAAUUGUUCGCCAAAUUGAUCCAGAAUGUCCUGGAAAAUGGAGCAGAUUGUGGGAAUUACAAGAUAUUGAAAGUGUAUUUACCCGAAAUAAGGUAAGAGAAAAAUACAUGAAUAUACUUGAGACCUAAAGACAUAAAAGAUUCAACAAGAUUUAUUUUUAUUAUUAUUAUAGUCUGAGUACCUUAUCUAUAUAAUUUUAUCGAAUCCCUAUGCAUCUUAUACUACUUUUUCUCAAUGCUUGUUUUCAGGGGACAAAAAACAUUGAGGGGAUAUUCAUAAAUCGGUCUUGGGAUACAAAAAAACGUAUACAACUUACUGCUGAAGCUUUCAGAAAGAUGAAUCGACUUAGAUUGCUCAUAGUUAAAGGCAAUAUGGUGCAGCUUUCCCAAGACUUUGAAUUGCCUUGUCAUGAUUUAGUAUAUUUUCAUUGGGAUAACUACCCUUUGGAAUAUUUGCCAUCAAAUUUUCAUGUAGAAAAUCUUGUUGAACUUAACCUCUGGUACAGCAACAUAGAACAUCUUUGGGAAGGAAACAUGGUAUUGCUAUUAUUUAGUUAUAUUUUUGCUCUAGACUAAUUUUAAAGUCUUUUGAAGUUUACUUAUUGAAACGAAUUUUCUUCUGUUACAGACUGCUAGAAAGUUAAAGGUCAUUAAUCUCAGUUAUUCCAUGCAUCUGGUUGGUAUUUCAAGCAUCUCAAGUGCACCAAAUUUGGAGAUUCUAAUUCUAAAAGGUUGUACAAGGUUACUUACUUGUUUCACCCAUGCUUAAUGUUAUUAUUAGUCAUGAGCUAACUGUUUUCUUGAAUAUAAUAGGAUGCAAGAGACUUGAGAGUCUUCCAAGGAACUUUCAUAAGCUGGAAUGCCUUCAAACACUCUCUUGUGAUGGCUGUUCAAACUUAAAAAGUUUUCCGAAGAUCGAGGAAGAAAUGAGAAGUCUAAGAAAGCUUCAUUUAAGUCAUACAGGUAUAAUGGAAUUACCAUCAUCAAUUAGCAAUCUAAAUGGGCUUGAAAAGUUGGACUUAGGUUAUUGCAAAAACCUUUUGAGUCUUCCGGACAGUAUUUUUAGUUUGAGUUCUCUUCAAACUCUGAAUCUAUUUGAGUGUUCAAAACUAGUGGGCUUUCCGGGUAUCAAUAUUGGAAGUCUAAAAGCUCUUGAAUAUUUGGAUUUGUCAUAUUGUGAGAACAUUGAGAGUCUUCCGAACAAUAUUGGUAGUUUUAGCUCUCUUCAUACUCUUUCAUUGAUGGGGUGUUCAAAACUGAAGGGCUUUCCAGAUAUCAAUAUUGGUAGUUUUAGCUCUCUUCAUACUCUUUCAUUGAUGGGGUGUUCAAAACUGAAGGGCUUUCCAGAUAUCAAUAUUGGAAGUCUAAAAGCUCUUCAAUUGUUAGAUUUCUCACGUUGCAGAAACCUUGAGAGUCUUCCGAACAAUAUUGGUAGUUUGAGCUCUCUUCAUACUCUUUUAUUGGUAGGGUGUUCAAAAUUGAAGGGCUUUCCAGAUAUCAAUUUUGGAAGUCUAAAAGCUCUUCAAUUGUUAGAUUUCUCACGUUGCAGAAACCUUGAGAGUCUUCCCAUGAGCAUUUACAAUUUGAGCUCUCUCAAAACAUUGAGGAUUACAAAUUGUCCAAAACUCGAGGAAAUGUUAGAGAUUGAAUUAGGGGUUGAUUGGCCACUUCCACCUACAACCAGUCACAUUUCAAAUUCAGCAAUAAUCUGGUAUGAUGGCUGCUUUUCCUCAUUAGAAGCAUUAAAACAAAAGUGCCCCCUGUCAUCACUGGUAGAAUUAUCUGUAAGAAAGUUUUAUGGCAUGGAAAAAGACAUCCUCAGUGGCAGUUUCCACCUAUCCUCAUUGAAAAUAUUAUCUCUAGGGAACUUCCCUAGCAUGGCAGGAGGAAUCCUCGAUAAGAUUUUCCAUCUAUCUUCAUUGGUAAAAUUAUCUCUUACUAAAUGCAAGCCAACGGAAGAAGGAAUCCCCAGUGAUAUUCGGAACCUAUCUCCACUGCAACAAUUAUCUCUACAUGACUGCAAUCUAAUGGAAGGAAAGAUCCUCAAUCAUAUUUGCCAUCUAACAUCCUUGGAAGAAUUACAUCUGGGUUGGAACCAUUUUAGUAGCAUUCCUGCUGGCAUCAGUCGACUUUCCAAUCUAAAAGCCCUUGACUUGAGUCACUGCAAGAACCUUCAACAAAUUCCAGAGCUUCCAUCAAGUCUACGAUUUUUAGAUGCGCACUGUUCGGAUCGUAUUUCAUCAAGCCCCUCGCUUCUACCUAUUCAUUCUAUGGUCAAUUGCUUCAAAUCAGAAAUUGAGGUAUGAUUCUCAUGCCACGUUCCUUUUUCUUUCGUACCCAUUGGAUUUACAUGGUGCUUUUGUGCAGGACUGCGUGGUUAUUCAUCGUUAUUCUUCCUUCUGGGGCAAUGGAAUUGGUAUUGUUAUUCCUAGAAGUAGUGGAAUUCUAGAGUGGAUAACGUAUCGGAAUAUGGGAGGGCAUAAAGUAACAAUAGAGCUCCCUCCGAAUUGGUAUGAAAAUGAUGACUUGUGGGGAUUUGCUUUAUGCUGUGUUUAUGUUGCACCUGCCUGUGAAUCUGAGGAUGAAUCUCAGUAUGAAUCAGGUCUUAUAUCUGAGGAUGACAGUGACCUUGAAGAUGAAGAAGCAAGCUUUUAUUGUGAAUUGACAAUCGAAGGAAAUAAUCAAUCAGAAGACGUGGCUGGUUUCGUUCUUGAUUUUCGCUGUGUUAAGGAUGAUGUAUCAGAUAUGCAGUGGGUGAUAUGUUAUCCCAAGUUAGCUAUUGAGAAAAGUUAUCACACCAAUCAAUGGACACACUUCAAGGCUUCAUUUGGUGGGGCCCAAGUGGCAGAGUGCGGAAUCCGUCUGGUAUACACAAAAGAUUAUGAACAGAAACAUCCAACAAUGGCACAAGGCAGUACUUCUCAUGGGAAUUUUGGUGAGCAUGGAUCAGUAAGAGAAGAUGGCAGUACUUCUCAUGGGAAGUUUGGUGACCAUAGAUUAGUAAGAGAAGCUUUACUACUCUAAAGAUACUAAUAGUAAAGAUCACAAUAAAAGGAAUCCCACAGAACAGAGCCCAGGAGAGGAGUCACGUACACCAUAAAAGAUUCAGAGAAACCCAAGACUGAUCCCAAGCAUUAGGCUCAACCACACUUGCAUCAAUAAUGUUCUCUUCCUGGUAAUUCAUCUUCUUUUCUCUUUCAAAUUCAAAGGUCAGAAAUUUUUUUAUCAUGUUUCUCCUUUUUAUUUGUUUUUUCCCCAAGACAAACAAAAAUUUGUGGCUAUCAUCCAUGGGUGCAAACUUCAAUGGUACACCUCCCAAGUUUGUUUUUCUCUCUCUCCAACCGUCUCUCCCUAGAUUUUUCUGCAUUUUCUUCAAACUCAUAUUUCUAUAUGAAAUUCAAUUACAUUCGAGCAUUUCAAUCUCUGUAGCUAAUGUCUGAAUCAUUUCUAGGGUUUCUUUUUUCUGGAAGUUUGUAAUGUUAUUGAUUUAUGACUUGAUGUUUGGGGAUGUUUUGGGUGGCUUGUUCACUUUUUUAUAGCGAUGAUUUAUGGAACCAGAGUUUCUUAGCAGGAAAUGGAACUCGUGUGUUUUAGAAUAUUGGCGUUAUUUGCUUGUGCCCUGUUUGGUUGCUGAGAAAGAGUGGAAGGAGGAUGGAGAAUUAAAUAAUUUUCAAUCUAAGCAAUGAGAAAUUAGAUUUGGGUAUUUGGGCCAUUGGAGUUAUUUGCUCUUACUCAGUUUGGUUUCCAGGAAACUGCAGGCAAAGCAUGGAAAAUAAAGUAUUUUUAAAUUAAUUACCAGGAAAUGGAAUGUACGUAUUUGUCUCUUUGGAAUAUAAACAUCAGUAUUCACUCUUCAAGAAUGUAUAUGGUUGUUGUUUUGGAAUUUUGAAAUUACUUAGCAUCAGACAAUUUCUAACUUGGGAUUUGGAUUGGGAAUCAUAAGUAAUCAUUAGAGAGUAUAUGAGAAGGAGUUUUAGAGUAAGACAGGGUGAUGCAUGUUGAGGGAUGCGUCUCACCCUGGAGUUCUUUGGAAUAAUUAUAGGAUUUUGUAAGUAACUUUGGACUUAUUAGCAAUGUUCUGGAUUUGUGAAUAAUUUAUAGAAUACAUUGGGUGUUUUUUUUUUUUUUUUUUUUUGAGAGUGAAUAAUGUAUGACUGUACUCUUCUCUAUCUCUGUGGUAUGGCACACGUAUGAUUUGGUGCUUUUUUGCAGGCCUUCAACAGCAGCAAAGCAUCUGGUGGCUUGCAGUACUAAUCUUGCAUUAUAUUCUCUGUUUUGCAAUCAUUUGGUACUGUUUGUCCCAACCAAGGAUAGCUCUGUGCAAGCAGUCUCGACUGUGGAACAAGUAAAACAAAUGGUACCUGCUGAAGCUGAGAGGGCAGAUGAUAAGCUGGUGCGGAAGGUGGUCAACCAAAAGAAUCAGACAGCAAAAACUAAAAAGCCCAUCAAGCCUGCUACUGAAGCAGCCUCAGCACCUGUUUCUGGGAGGGGUGAGAUUGAAGUGACUGAAGAAAAGGAGCAUGAGCAAACAAAGAAGGAAGAGGAGUUGGCCAGGAAGGUAGAGGAAUUGAGAAGUGAAGAAGAAGCAGCCAUGUUGAAGGAGAGAAAGCCAACGUUAAGGAGGCACUGGAAAGGAAACAAGGAACUGCAGAAAAGGCCAAUUUCUCUGUGAGUGCUGCCACCUUUUCAUAAUAAUGGAUGUUAAAAGCAGUCUAACUCUACAUGGCGUUUAUUUUCCCCAGCCAUGGAUUGGAAUCUGCCAGUCUAACUCUCAUAAGAAACAAAAUUUUCCAUCCUCAUAUGGAUUAUUGGAGAAGAUUUUAACAUGGAGUUCACUAGAGAGUUUCUAACACCCACUCAAAAAGGACAUUUUAGAGAACUUAUUGAAAAGUUACAUCAGAGUACAUAAAUUUUUAGAUAUUUUUAAAAAUAUCUGAAAAAUUAAAUUAACUAAAAGUAUUUGAAAAAUAUUUGAUUGAAUUAAUAAAUAACUAGUAUUUGCAUAUGAAAAAAUAGUAAACAUAGUCAAUAAUUUUUUUUUUAAUAAUUAGCACAUAAUAAUCAUAAAUUAAUUUAUGGCAAGACCUCAUAUUUGUUGUGGUGACUGUGUUGUCUUACCAUUCUUCUUUCAUGAUGGGCUUAAAUUUUAAUUUAAAUGUAGUAUAAAUAUAUAAUUAGAUUGAUAUUUCGUCCACUAGAAUUGAUUGGGUCUGAAUUUGAACCCUGGUCUUGAAUUUCUUGGCCCAACCAACGAAAUCAUUGACCAACGGCCCUUAGUUUGGGCUGGGCUUGAUGGUCCUCAGGUUAUGCAGGCUUAAUACUGAUUGGGUUUGGGCUUCCAUGCAGUUGUACUUGGAUUCUAUGUUUCCUAAUAUUAACACUAAAAUUAGGUUUAAUUUAUUAACACUAAAUUAGGUUUCAUUUAUAAUUAAAUAUAAUUAGUUUGAGAAUAACUCCAAUCUUUAGUUAAACCAACUAAGUUUUAUGCAAAGGUUUAUAUUCCUAAUACCAUUGAAAAACUAAAUUUAUGUGGAAGUUUGACUGAUACCAACAUUAAAUUAUUAAGAUAAAUUGAAAAAAAAAAAAUCAUGCUCGUAUGUCCUGUUGUUUGUCAUAAGAAAAUUUCUUUUCAGAUUUUUUUUUUCUUUUAAUACAUCUUUACAUUUUUAAUAACAAUCCAUAGGAUUGUUCCCAAACAUAUAUCAUAUAAAUAUAUCUUUUUUGGAUUUUUAAGAAUGUUGUCAAACAAACUCAUAAUACCAUUCUUUCUUUACAAUUACCAAUCCAUAUGAUGAAUUUAUUCCUUUCAAUAACUGACAUCAUCUAAUAAAAAUUAUAAUUAGGUAUUAUAUUUAAAAAGUGUUUAAUAAAUCAAUUUAAUAACUUAAGUGAUUUAAUAACUUAAUUUAAAUUAUUAAAAUAAUUUGAUGUCACAAUUUAAAGUUAAAAUUGAUUUAAUUAAUUUUUAUUUAAAUUUAAAACUAUGUUUACAAAAAAGGCUUAAAAUUCAUAUCAAUUAAGAAAUUAAGUUAUUAAGUUACUUUAAGUCAUUAAAUUAAUCUACCAAUUAAACACCCUUUAAGAUAUGAUAUAAAGUUCACCUCCUACAUAUCAUGAAAAUUAAAAAUUAAUUACCACAUCAAGAAUCUUUAGUUCCUAAUCGAUUUAAUAUUUAAUCCUUGGUUGUGAAUUUCUUUAUAUAUGUAGAUAUAUUUUUAUAUUGCAAGUGGGCUGCCGACUUUUCAUUUUAUACUAGUUUUGAAAAUAAGAUUGUAGUUUUUAUUUUGUCCAAAUCUAAUUUGGAGGGAGAAUCUUUAGAGGCUAUUUUAUAUUCAAAUAGGAAAAUUUUAAAUUUAAUAGUCCCACCUUAUAAAGGCAAAUAUCUUGGACCCUACAUGGGUGCCUCUUACAUGCAUGCACGAGGACAAAGACUUAUUGAAAGCCUCUCUCAUUCACAUGGAUGCCAUCAUUCAUCGAAGUUGAAACAUGAAACCCACACAAAAUAUUUGGGCAAAAGCAACUUCAAUAUUUUUUUUCAUUACUAUAGCUGAGAAUCUCAAUAUUAUUAAAUAGUAAUAAAAUUAAUUUUAAUAUUUUUUUUCUUAUUUUUUCCUCCUUGUGGUUAUAUUUUCAUCCGGAAAGUAUUAAAUAUUAAAAAAGAAUAAAAUUUAAAAAUUAAUUUUUCAUAUUUAAUUAUAUUGUGAAAAAUAUAAAAUAAAAUAUAAUAUAAUUAAAAUUAGUUAAAAUUUUAUAUUUUUAUAAAAUUAUUUAACUUUUUUAUAAAAAUUUAAAAUAAGUGACAUGAGUUUGAAAUAGUAUACAUAUUGACUUUAAAUUUAAUUUUUAUAUUUUUCAUUUUUCUUUUUAACUAUUCUUCUUUCUUCUCUUUCUCUCAACUUUUCCUUCAAAUUUUCCAAUAACCAAACAUAACCUAUUUGUUUCAUAAAAACUCUUUUACCUUUUUAAAUUUUUAAAAGAGUUGCUUACAUAAUAUGGAGCUAAUAGUAUUACUUGUACCUAUUAAUUUCUUUUAAGAUUAAAUUGUUCUAACUUUGUGUGAUAAAAAGUUUGUAAAGUCCAAUUUUACGAAAGAAAAUAUAUGAUUAGUGACUCCCUUGCAUUUCCUUUGGGAUUCACCCCUUCAUACUUACCGUAAAUAGUUGUACCAAUUAAUCAAACAAAAAACAUAGCAUGUAAAUAGUAAUAUGUUAAAGUUUUCUAUCGUGCCUAAGUUUAAUUAGUUCUACUUAUUUAUAUAUUGAAAUGAAAGUAAGCAUAUAUUUAAGUGGUCCAUCAAAUUUGAAACUAAUCUAUUGUAAUUACAUUCAUGUCUAUAUCAUUUAUAUUGUACAUAACUUGAGUACAUUAAAAAUUGUACAAAAAAUCCAAAUUACAAGGAAGUUUAUAUAAACUCUCUUAGGAUUAGACACUGUUAGUCAUUGCCUUCUAAAAAGCUUUCAUCUCUUUCUCCCUCAAGAGGUUUGUAGUCACUUUACACAAGUGUCAAAACUCAAAAGAGUGAUCUAAUGAAGAUGACGAGGUGAUUGAGAUCCUUUUCAUAAACUGGAGUUUGAUAUGGGAACAUUCAUAUCGAAGGUAAAAAUUUUUAUCAGCAACUAGACUUACUUUUAUCUUUCCUUAUAAUUAAACCCAAUAAUCCUAGGUUGUUAGAGACCACACACCUAUGAUCCAAGGGUUUUCCCAACAAGGAUAUCAAUAAAUCUUUCUACUCUAUUGAUGGCAUCUUGAAUUCUUUCAAAUUAAUCACUUCAUUGUAAUCGUUAUUCACUAAAUCCCAUAAAUCUUGAGAUCUAAACAUGACAUUCAUAUGAAUGCAUCAAUUAUUAUAAUUCUUACUUAUGAAUUUUGAAAGUUGAGAUUCAAUUGAGUUAUUAUUUACCAUCAUUACUUUAACAACCAAAUUGCAAAUUUCUUUAUACUAUUCACAUUCUCUGGCAGCCUUUGACCUUCCCUAAUCUUUAGCCUCUAGCUAAUACCACUUGUUUGAGCUCCCAUAAUUGGGCAGCAUUGACAAUAAUUUACUAAAAUAACAUUUUAUUCUAUCCUACUCUCUCUUUGUCAACAUAAUAAUAAACCUCUAUUUAAAAUAAGUUGAUCAUAUUUGCAUUAUCACUCUAAUUCAUAAUUAGAUUGGGAAACCUAAUUAAUAUCAAAUAAAUAACCAUUCCUAAUAUUUCUCAAAUUUAUAAAAUUCUUCUAAUUUGACUUUAAAUUGAUUUUUUAUUUUGACUAUAUAGCUUAAAAAGGAUAAUUUUUUAAAUAAUUAUCAAUUUCAUAUAAUCUUUAUAAGCAUUUGUGUUCAUAAAUUCCUUAUUAUGAUAUUAGGUUUUAGACAAUUUGACAAUAUGAUGAUGUUUUGGAAUGAAUGUUAAGUGAAUCCGUUUUACUCAAAACCAUUAAAUAAAAAAAAAAGACAGUUACACAAGUAAAAUAGUAGAUUAUUGAAGGCCAGGAGAAAAGAAGAGGAAAAUGAAAUAUUAUAUCCCUAUAAUGAGUUAGGUGGAUAUUUCAUGUGAAAAGUUUAAUGUGCAAGGUUGUUCAUGUCUAUUGAGUUUUGGGUAAUCAUUUUUUCAUGGAAAUUUUUUAUGGAAUCCUAAUCUUAGAAAGCAAUAGGAAAUUUUUUUACCAAGAUUUCUAAGAAAUAACUACAUCAAAGUGUAAGAAAAGUAUCAAACUAGAAUAUCUAAGAAAUUACUACAUCAAAGUGUAAUAGAAACAUCAAAUUAGAAAGUGAAAUAUAAUACAAUUCAACUAUGAAAAUGAAGGACAAAGGAAUAGACUAAUUGCCAAAGGAAAAUAGUCUUUUAGUUUUAAUCAGAAAUUUCUUAUAUCAUAAUUAUGACCUGUAGAGGCCACAUGGGUUGUUGGCCUUGGAGUGACUAAAAGGUACAACUAAAAAACGUCAAACAUUUGGAGAACUAAAAGAAAACAUGGAUAAAAUUUUUUUACCUAGAACAUUUAUAUAGAAAUAUUUUAUUUUUUAUUUUUAAAAAAUUAGUAAAGGUAGUAAAGUUUUUUAAAGAUUAUUUUGCGCCCUAAAAACAAAUCGUAAAGGCUUGUUAAAGAUUAUUUUGGAUAUGUUUCAUGCAUUAAUUUUUUUUAACAUUUCAAAUUUUUAAAUGAUUUUUAAAAGUUAUUACCUUUUAAAAUGUAAAUCUCAUAGAGUAUUUGCAUUAUAUAGGAAUUACUAUCAUUUUUAUUUUUUUUAAAAAAGAGAAAUGUAUUCAAAUAAUACCUUAAUUUUUCAUUUUCUAGUAUAAGGAAAUGAUUAUAUCUCACACAAACCUUGUUCAGAUACAUAUUUCAAAGUGAGAAAAAAAAAAUUCUUUUAGAGAAAAGAAGUCCUUCAAAAAGAAGAAAAAAAAAGGUUUUUCAAAGAAGAGUUAGAAGGAAAAGUGAAUUCAAUCUUAUAAUCAGCUAACAUGAUGUUGUUUGAUUACAUUUUUUAUUUUCUAUUUUUACAAAUAAAAUAUAAUAAUAACUCCUAUAUGAAAUAUAGAACUCUUUCAAACUUACUUUAAAAACAUAAUAAUAUUUAAAAAUUAAGAUAAAUUGUGAUAUUAAAAAAAAAAUUACUUCUUCAAAUUUUAAAAAUUAUGAAAAUAAAUUUUUAAUGACAUAAGAUAAGUCUAUAAAUUUUACAUAAAAGUUAUUAUAUUUUAUAUAGAAACUAUUACUAUUUUCUAUUUGUAAAAAUACAAAAUAAAAAAUAUAUCCAAGCAAGUACUAUGAGAAAUAGUUUCUAACAUUUCUUAUUAAGAAAAUGAGAAUAUUAAGAAGUAUAUUCCUACUACAUUGUUUUUUUUUUUAAUUUGAUAUCAACCCAUUCUAUUAGCUCUUUUGAGAAAUAUAGAAAAAUAACAUUACAUAAUUGCAUAGAACAAGAAUAUUAUUUAAGUUUGAGGCAAGUGUUAAAAAGAUAUUGUAAUUCUGUUACGUUGUUUAACUUCAAUGUCCUAUAUGUAACUGUUAGGAAUUUGAGGCUAAUCCAAACUAUAGUAAUCACCCUAGAGGGAGGGGGGGGGGGGGGGUAAAUAGGGUGAUGAUCUCUUUUUCACAAAUCUAAACUAUGCAAAAAUAAGAGACAAUUAUAUGUAAAUAUAUAAUAAACACAAUUACAUAUAAUUUAAAAAAUUUGGGAAAAAAAAGUGCAAAACCGAAAACUUAUAAUGGGUCGACACUUCCUUGGCCACCUUCCCUCUCCUUAAACCCCUAAACGAAUGAGGGUUCCCCUAUUUUGAAGCUUCCACCAAGCUUCCAAACCCUUUACAAAUGGAUUAAGGUUUCCAAUCCCCCUUUUGNNNNNNNNNNNNNNNNNNNNNNNNNNNNNNNNNNNNNNNNNNNNNNNNNNNNNNNNNNNNNNNNNNNNNNNNNNNNNNNNNNNNNNNNNNNNNNNNNNNNAGAGAGUGCAAACACGAGAGCUUAUAGUGGUUCGACACUUCCUUGCCUACGUCCACUCUCCUCAACCUCCUAACCGAGUGAGGGUUCCACUAUCUUGAAGCUUCAACCAAGCUUCCAAUCUCUUUACAAUUGGAUUAUGGUUCCAAUUCACCCUUUUGGACUUUUGGCUCCAAGCACCCUUUACACUUCUCAAAAGUUAUCCCACUCUUGAACAACCUCUCAAGUGAUACCCCUCACUUGAGAAAAUUCCUCUCAAAGAUAUACAAAGAUUGAUCUCACAAAAAUUGUAGUAAUAGAACUUUAAGCUCAAAUGAUACAAGAGAAACUAGGAUUGAAUGGUGCACUAAAGAUAUGCAAGUUUUGGAAUAAUGGUGCACUCAAAAAUACUCUUCCAAGGCUCAAAUAUAAUCAAGAAAGAUUUGGGAAGGUUUAGCUUAUCAAACAACGAAGUUUGGAGCCUUUUUAUAGAAGAAAAAAGUCAUACUAGCCGUUGGGGGUUUGAUCGGUCGAGCUAAGGGUCGACUGGUUGACUAACCAUUAGGAAAAGUGACUGUUGAGCCUCAACCGGACCUCAACCGGUUGAGGUUCAACCUUGACCGGGAAGAGAAGGCCACUAGGAGAGAGAGAAAGUUUUUGGCCUCCCUCAACCGGUCCUCGACCGGACGAGCACAACCAAUCGACCAGUUGAACCGGUUGAGCCAUUUUUUUGGCUCAACACUCAACAUUUUUCAACUUAAAACCUUUUAACACAAAUUUGAAAAUCAUUUAACACAAGGUUUUAGUUGAAAACAUUAAAUCAUCCAAUUCUUAAGAUAUUUAAAACAAUAUUACUCUUGGAUAAUUUUGGUGCAUAAAUAAAUAAUGAAAUGCAUGAAAGUCCUAGUGCACCAACAACCUUACAAAGAGAUCCUAAGAAGCUUUGGUCUUGAAAAACUCUUCUCUUUGAGGUGGUCUUCUUUUUCAUGAUUUCUCCUUGACUUGAUUUGUCUUUGGAUUGCCACUUUGGAAGUCGUCUUGCCUAAUCACACUUGAAAUAUGAUCAUUAGUUCUAAACCUUGUUUUGUUAUCAUCAAAAUCAAGAUUAACCAAACCUUGGUUUCACAGUAACGACUUGUUCCCAACCAUAUAGAUAUUGUCCGCUUUGGACCCAAAUGGGCCCUCACGGUUUUUAAAACUCGUCUACUUGGUUAAGAGGAACUUCUACAUAUAUAGCGUCAGACUUUCCCCCCUAUCCGAUGUGGGAUGUCACAAACACCCCCCUCCCCCCCUCCAUGUAGACACAACGUCCUCGUUGUGUCCCAUGGGAUUGUAGGGUUAAAUAGACAAACACCCCUUAUGAGGUCAAACAAACCCCAACACCGGGGUCGGGGAUCGACUCUGAUACCAUUUAUCAGAAUCCGUACUCAAUUAUAUAUAUAUUGUCCGCUUUGGACCCAAAAGGGCCCUCACGACUUUAAAACGCGUAUACUUGGUUAAGAGGAGUCUCUACACAUAUAGCACCAAGAACUUUUCCCCCUAUCCAAUAUGGGAUGUCACACUAUAUAUGUGUAACAAUUUUUCUUUAAAAAAAUUAGAGGACUUAAAAUGGGCUCUUGUCAACCUUAUUGAUAUUUGAUGUCAAAGGGAUACAACCAACCACCACAAAUAAUUGAGAGAAAAGAAAGGAAAUAAUAAUAAGAGGUAGGCCCCGGGCUCUUGUGAACCUUAUUGAUAUUUGAUACCAAAGGGAUACAACCAACUCCCACAUUUAAUUAAGAGAAAAGAUUGGGAUAUCCUCACCACCAUGUCUAGAUUGCUUUAGUAGGACCAAGAGAAGUCAUUCAGCAUCCAAAGAUCCUCUUCUUCUUCUUCUUCUUUUAAUUCUAAAUGGAGGGACAAUGUGUUCUUGAGUUUCAAAGGUGAAAAUACUCACAAAAGCUUUACUAAUCAUUUCUACUGUAUAUCUUUACUUGUAAUAAAUGUAUAAGAUAUUUGUAUUAACUGUAUAAAACAUGUACAGACCUGUAUAUCUUGAAUUUAUUAAUAUGUUUUUCUUCAUUUUCUUUGUUUUCCAUACCAAAAUACUAAAAAAAUUAUUUACAUAAUUUUUUCUUUUCACAUUUUCAUAUGUAUACAAGACACUUAUACUAAAUGUACAAGAUAUUUUCAUAUUUUGACUAAUGCCUAUACAAAUAUGCAAAUAUAUUGACAAUAGGCAAACUCAUACUAGUCUUGUAUAGUUAUGACAAAUGUCUUAUACAUUUAGGGUGUGUAUACAAUGUUUUCUAAUUCUUUGUAUAGUUAAUACAAAUGUCAUAUAUAUUUUUGAAAAUGUAAAAAAAAAAAAAAGAAGUUAUAUUUGACAUUUACACAUUAUAUAUAAACAAUAUUUCAAUUUAAUAUGGAAAAUGAAAAAAAUGCAAAUAGAUAUAUGUGAAGGGUAAAAAGAGUAUUUUUGUUCGUAAAAUUUCAUGUACUUAAACAUGAAGUAUGCAUCUUUUCACAGAUGUUGGCCAAAUUAUGAACCUCAAACACAAUUGUUUUAAAGAGAAAUGUGAAGAAAAAGAAUAUGAAUGGUAGUUGUAAGAAAAUUAAAAAAUAAAAUCAUUGACUCUUCACUCUACCAAACUAGGGAUGACAACGAGGCGAGUUUGGGAUGGGGCCUCGUUCCGUUUAACUUUUUUUUUUAAUUACUUAAAAUUUUUUUAAUUAUAUUAAAAUAAAUAUAUUUUAUAAAUAAUUAAAUUAUUAUAUUUUUAUAACUUAUUUUAUUAAAAAAUAUUUUUUUUAUUAUUUAUAUAUUAAAAAUAGUAAAAUUAAAAUUAAAAUUAAUUUAAUUUUAAAAAUUAAUUUUAUAUAUAAUAGGGGUGGAGCAAGAUAAGGCAAUAGCUGAAUCUGUCCUGGGUUUUAAAAAGAUUCCCAAACCUGUCCAAAACUCAUUUAGUUAAAAUUGAAACUCAUCCAAUUACGAGCGGGUAUCCGAAAAAACUUGUCCUAUUGUCAUCCCUAUACCCAACCACACUAUCAUCCAAUGAAUAAAACGAAAAUAACUAAAAUUAAGGAACAACCCAAGAAUCAAUGACUUCCUAGCAAGCCCAUCCAUAUCCCAACACGGACAAAAAUAUUUUAAUUUUUUUGCCUUAAAAAUCACGCAUGAAGCUUCCUAGAAAUUUCAUACUUCUUUGUCAUUAUCUAUAUUUUCUACUUCUUUUUCAUCGUCAAUAUUUGUGUAUAUAUAUAAAAUAAAACUUGCAAGAAAAUACAAAAAUGAUAGAUGGCAAAAUGGUUUUUAUGUUAAGAAGGUUCUAAAUUUUUCACACCUUUACAGUAUAAAAAAAAAAAAAAAAAAAAACUUUUUAAAUACAGAACUAUUUCGGACUUGAAUCAUUUUGAAAUUCAGAGACUUGAAAAGUGUUUGUUGGACUUGAAGGAGUUUGGAGUUAAUCUUGAACUUAGAUAUGUUUAGAAAUCAAAGUGGAUUUGAAGAAGAUUGAAAUCCACGACAUGACAACACUGUAAUAUGAAUAGUGUUUUGUCAAAAAAAAUUACUAUUUACUAUUUACUAGGGCAUAAAAGAAAAAUACAAAAUAAUACUCUAAAAAUGCGAAGGAAAGAUUGUUGGUCGUUGAAUAAGGGGAAAAAAAAGAAGAAAAGUAAAAUGUGAAAAAAAAAAGCUUCAAGAGUGCAAUUAAUAAUUGUGGUAGGCCCUGACUUUUGUCUUGUGAACCCGCCUAUUAUUGAAUGGAAAAGGGAUAUAGCCAACCAAAAUAAUUGAGAGUAAAGAAAGGAACACCUCACCACUAUGCUCCAAAUUGAGAGAAAAACAAAGUCAGCCGGCAUCCAAGGACAUUUUUAUUAAAAAAGUAAAGAAAAGAAAUGGUGCUUUAGCUAUUAUCAUAUCAACUCCUAGGAAAUAAAUGAAAAGAACAAGUAAAUGAAAAGAAACAAAAAAAAAAGUUCUUAGAAUGCAAAAAGAAGAUAUUGGAUAUUGAAUGCCCAAAAGAGAAAAAAAUAAAAUGGUAAGAUGUAAAGAAAAGAGUCAGAAAAGCUUCACAAUUGCAAUUAAUAAUUGAGGUACGACUUGGACUUUUGUGAACCCUCACUGUUAAUGCUAAAGGGUUACAGCUAAGGAAAGGAUAAAUGGGAGAGAAGAACAGGACAUCCUCACCACCAUCGUCUUAGCAUCAAAGACCCUCUUUUUUCUUCUUCCAAAUUCUGUUCUUGUAAUUUUGUUACAAUCCAACCAUGGCUUCCUCUAGCAAUUCUAAGAGACCCUUUUGUUCUUCUUCUUCUUCUAAUUCUAAAUGGAGGUACGAUGUGUUCUUGAGUUUCAGAGGCGAGGAUACCCGCAACAACUUUACUAGUCAUCUCUACAAGGAUUUGGAUAAGGCCAACAUUAAAACCUUUAAAGAUGAUGAAGAACUUCGAAAGGGAGGAGAGAUUGCACCCGAGCUCCUAAAAGCUAUUGAAGAAUCAAGGAUCGCCAUUAUCGUCUUCUCGAAAACCUAUGCUCAUUCCAAGUGGUGCUUGGAUGAACUCGUCAAGAUCAUGGAGUGCCAGAAAGAAAAGGGACAAAUAGUUUAUCCCGUUUUCUAUCACGUACGGCCGUGUGAAGUCAGGAACCAGUAUGGGACUUAUGGAGAAGAAUUUAAGAAACACGAGAGCAAUGCGGACGAGGAGAAGAAGAAGAAAAUAGGGGAGUGGAGGACUGCCUUAAGGAAAGCCGGUGAUUUGAGUGGAUUUAGUCUGCGGGAUAGGUAAUCCCUACUUCACUUUUUCCAUUUCCAAUUUUCUGUCAGUUUAUUUUCAUUCUUGUUAGUAAAUAAAAUAUUUAUGAUUACAUAUAUCAAUCAAAAUCCAGUUUUUAAGUAGUAGACAUUAAUAUGUUUGAUUUCUUGGAAAGUAAUAAGAAGAGUUAAAAAUAAAUAAAAAUAAAAAUUUAAAAAAUUUGAUUUUCUUAUAUUUAAUGUAUUAUUAAAAAAUAUGAAAGAAAAUAAAAAUAUAAUUAAAAUACAUUGUAAAAAUAUAUAUAAUUAGUUUAUAAUUAAAAUAAUCUUAGAAAAUCUAUAGUAGUUGUUCUGGGCUCAUUCAGGCCCAACAGGUAAUCCCUAUUUCACUUUUUCCAUUACCAAUUUUCUGUCGGUUUAUUUUCAUUCUUGUUAAUAAAUAAAAUAUUUAUGAUUACAUUUAUCAAUCAAAAUCCAUUUUUAAGUAGUAGACAUUAAUAUGUUUGAUUUCUUGGAAAGUAAUAAGAAAGAGUAAAAAAAAAAAUUGACUUUCUCACAUUUAAUUUAUUAUUAAAAUUAUAAAAGGAAAUCAAAUAUAAUUAAAAUAUAUCGAAAAAAAAAAUAUUUGCCUACAAUUGGGAUAAUAUUAGAAAAUCUAUAGUAGGUGUUGUGGGCUCAUUCAGGCCCAGGUAAUACUGGUAAAAAAAUAAAAUAAAAUAAUUAUGCCAAAUGCCAAGUUUUGAAUUGUUAAAAAUCUUUAAGAUUCCAAAAUAUUCUUCCUUUCUAAUCAAUCCAUCUCAGCCAUAAUUUCUAUCAAUUAAAUUGUUCAAAUUGGUUAUUUAUAUGCUUUGUAAAUUUGGAGAUAAUCUGAGAUGAUUAUUUAAAAUAUUGUAAUACUACCCUAAAUUUUUUUGGACCCUCUUAUGGGACAAAAAACUUAGUUAUUGCACCCUUAACCUUUUUCAAUUUUAGAGGAAUUUUCUAUUACUAAAAUAAUUUUCUCAUGUUCUCUGUGCACUACAUGAGUUUACAUUUCUUCUUUACUUAAUAUUGUUUGUUCCUCUAUAUUUGCAAGUUGAUUAUUAAAUUUAUUUACCUUUUAAUCUAAUGUUUGUAUCUCGUUUUAUUCUAAUUAUCCCAUGACAUCUGGAUAAUCUCUUCUUAAGACCUUGACAUGACAUAAUGAAAUUUUAUUUAAACAUGCAAUUCAACACAUUUUUAAUUUACAUUCUAUUUGACCUUAAUUUAAUUGCACCGAACUAAAGAUCAUUCUAUAAUUUCCAUUUACUUCAUCUUUGUUUUCUUUGACAAUUGAUUGUAGCUUACUCCAUGUUUUAUUGUACUUUAUAAUGGACAGAUCUGAGGCAGAGUUUAUUGAAGAAAUCAUUGGUGAGAUUCGAAGAUUAAUUCCUAAGUGGGUACAUGUUGGUGAGAAUAUUGUUGGAAUGGAUGAAAAUUUGAAAAAAGUGAAGUUAUUGAUAGAUGCCCAAUCAAAUAAAGUGAGUAUGGUUGGGAUUUAUGGGACUGGUGGGAUUGGUAAAACUACCAUCGCCAAGGUUGUUUACAAUGAUAUGUUAGAUCAAUUUAAAUGUCACAGCUUUCUUGAAAAUGUGAGAGAGAAAUAUGAAGAUAAAGGUGAUUUGCUUCAAUUACAAAAAGAACUUCUUUGUGAUAUCCUAAUGGAGAAAAAUCUGGUGUUAAGGAAUAUUGAUGAAGGAUUUAAAAAGAUAAAGAGUAAGCGUCACUCUGAAAAGGUUCUUAUUGUUCUUGAUGAUGUAGGUUGUGAAGAACAAUUAAAAUUCUUAGCUCCUAAUUCUGAAUGUUUUCAUCCAGGAAGCAUAAUCAUUGUGACCACGAGAAAUAAGCGUUGCCUAGAUGUAUAUGACUCGUAUUCAUCAUAUGAGGCUAAGAGAAUGGCAGACAAGCAAGCUGAGGAACUCUUUUGUUGGAAUGCCUUCAAGCAAGACCAUCCCAUAGAAAAUUUUGUGGGCCUCUCUAAUCGUAUACUGGAUUAUGCUGACGGCCUUCCAUUGGCUCUUGUAGUUUUGGGUUCUUUUCUCUUUCAAAGGCCUAUGGAUGAAUGGGAAAGCACAUUGGAUGAACUCAAAACAAUCCCUCCCGAGAAUAUUCAAAAGGUACUCCAGAUAAGUUAUGAUGGACUAAGUGAUGAACGCAAGAAGUUGUUUCUUUAUAUUGCAUGCUUCUUCAAAGAUGAGGAUGAAAAAAUGGCAACAAGAAUACUAGAAAGUUGCAAAUUACAUCCCGCUAUUGGACUAAGAGUUCUUCAUGAGAGGUGUCUUAUUUCUAUAGAGGACAACACUAUAAGGAUGCAUGACUUGUUACAAGAAAUGGGUUGGGCAAUUGUUUGCAAUGAUCCAGAACGUCCAGGAAAAUGGAGCAGAUUGUGCGAAUUACAGGAUAUUGAAAGUGUAUUAUCACAAAAUGAGGUAAGAGAAAAAUACAUGAACAUACUUGAGAUCUAAAGACAUAAAAGAUUCAACAAGAUUUAUUUUUAUUAUUAUUAUAGUUUGAGUAUAUUAUCUAUAUAAUUUUAGUGAAUCCCUAUGCAUCUUAUACUGCUCAUUCUCAAUCCUUGUUUUCAGUGGACAAAAAACAUUGAGGGGAUUUUCACAAGUCAGUCUCGCCAUACAGGAAAACAUAUACAACUUACUACUGAAGUUUUCAGAAAUAUGAAUCAACUUAGAUUGCUCAAAGUCGAAUUCAAUCAGAUCGUGCAGCUUUCCCAAGACUUUGAAUUGCCUUGUCAUGAUUUAGUAUAUUUUCAUUGGGAUUACUACCCUUUAGAAUAUUUGCCAUCAAAUUUUCAUACAGACAAUCUUGUUGAACUCAACCUCUGGUGUAGCCGCAUAAAACAUCUUUGGGAAGGAAAUAUGGUAUUGCUAUUAUUUAGUUAUAUUUUUGUUGUAGACUAAUUUUAAAGUCUUUUGAAGUUUACUUCUUGACACAAAUUUUCUUCUGUUACAGCCUGCUAAAAAGUUAAAAGUCAUUGAUCUUAGUUAUUCCAUGCAUCUGGUUGACAUUUCAAGCAUCUCAAGUAUGCCAAAUUUGGAGACUCUAACUCUAAAAGGUUGUACAAGGUUCCUUAAGUGUUUCAUCCAUGCUAAAUGUUAUUAUCAGUCAUGAACUAAUUGUUUUCUUGAAUAUAAUAGGGUGCACGAGACUUAAGAGUCUUCCAAGGAACUUUCCUAAGUUGGAAUGCCUUCAAACACUCUCUUGUUGUGGCUGUUCAAACUUAGAGAGUUUUCCGAAGAUCGAGGAAGAAAUGAGAAGUCUAAGAAAGCUUAAUUUAAGUCAAACAGGUAUAAUGGGAUUACCAUCAUCAAUUAGCAAGCUAAAUGGGCUUAAAGAGUUGGACUUAAGUAGUUGCAAAAAGCUUUCGAGUCUUCCGGACAGUAUUUAUAGUUUGAGCUCUCUUCAAACUCUCAAUCUAUUUGCAUGUUCACGACUAGUGGGCUUUCCGGGUAUCAAUAUUGGAAGUCUAAAAGCUCUUAAAUACUUGGAUUUGUCAUGGUGUGAGAACCUUGAGAGUCUUCCGAAUAGUAUUGGUAGUUUGAGCUCUCUUCAAACUCUUUUAUUGAUAGGGUGUUCAAAACUGAAGGGCUUUCCAGAUAUCAAUUUUGGAAGUCUAAAAGCUCUUGAAUCGUUAGAUUUCUCAGGUUGCAGAAACCUUGAGAGUCUUCCCGUGAGCAUUUACAAUGUAAGCUCUCUCAAAACUUUGGGGAUUACAAAUUGUCCAAAACUCGAGGAAAUGUUAGAGAUGAAACUAGGGGUUGAUCCAUGCCCCUGGCCAUUUUCACCUCUAACCUGUCACAUUUCAAAUUCAGCAAUAAUCUGGGAUGAUCACUGGCAUGACUGCUUUUCCUCAUUAGAAGCAUUAGACUCACAGUGCCCCCUGUCAUCACUGGUAGAAUUAUCUGUAAGAAAGUUUUAUGACAUGGAAGAAGACAUCCCCAUUGGCAGUUCCCACCUAACCUCAUUGGAAAUAUUAUCUCUGGGGAACGUCCCUACAGUAGUAGAAGGAAUCCUCUAUGACAUUUUCCAUCUAUCUUCAUUGGUAAAAUUAUCUCUUACUAAAUGCAAGCCAACAGAAGAAGGAAUCCCCCGUGAUAUUCAGAACCUAUCUCCACUGCAACAAUUAUCUCUACAUGACUGCAAUCUAAUGAAAGGAACGAUCCUCGAUCAUAUUUGCCAUCUAACAUCCUUGGAAGAAUUAUAUCUGGGUUGGAACCAUUUUAGUAGCAUUCCUGCUGGCAUCAGUCGACUUUCCAAUCUAAAAGCCCUUGACUUGAGUCACUGCAAGAAGCUUCAACAAAUUCCAGAGCUUCCAUCUAGUCUACGAUUUUUAGAUGCGCACUGUCCGGAUCGUAUUUCAUCAAGCCCCUUGCUUCUACCUAUUCAUUCUAUGGUCAAUUGCUUCAAAUCAAAAAUUGAGGUAUGAUUCUCAUGCCACGUUCCUUUUUCUUUUGUACCCAUUGGAUUUACAUGGUGCUUUCGUGCAGGGGCGCAAGGUUAUUAAUAGGUAUUCUUCCUUCUAUGGCAAUGGGAUUGGUAUUGUUAUUCCUAGUAGUGGAAUUCUAGAGUGGAUAACGUAUCGGAAUAUGGGAAGGCAAGUAACAAUAGAGCUCCCUCCGAAUUGGUAUAAAAAUGAUGACUUGUGGGGAUUUGCUUUAUGCUGUGUUUAUGUUGCACCUGCCUGUAAAUCUGAGGAUGAAUCUCAGUAUGAAUCAGGUCUUAUAUCUGAGGAUGACAGUGACCUUAAAGAUGAAGAAGCAAGCUUUUAUUGUGAAUUGACAAUCGAAGGAAAUAAUCAAUCAGAAGACGUGGGUCAUUUCUUUCUUCAUUCUCGCUGUAUUAAGGAUGAUGUAUCAGAUAUGCAGUGGGUGAUAUGUUAUCCCAAGUUAGCUAUUGAGAAAAGUUAUCACACCAAUCAAUGGACACACUUCAAGGCUUCAUUUGGUGGUGCCCAAGUGGAAGAGUGCGGAAUCCGUCUUGUAUACAGAAAAGAUUAUGAACAGAAGCAUCCAAGAAUGGCACAAGGCAGUACUUCUCAUGGGAAUUUUGGUGAGCAUGGAUCAGUAAGAGAAGAUACUGAUAGUAAAGCUCACAAUAAAAGGAAUCCCACAGAACAGAGCCCAGGAGAGGAGUCACACCAUAAAAGAUCCAGAGAAACCCAAGACUGAUCUCAAGUAUUAGGCUCAACCACACUUGCAUCACUAAUGCUCUCUUUACUGGUAAUUCAUCUUCCUUUCUCUUUCUAAUUCAAAGGUCAGAAUUUUUUUUUUAUCGUGUUUCUCCUUUUUAUUUGUUUUUUUUUUCCCCAAGACAAACAAAACUUUGAGGCUAUCACCCAUGGGCGCAAACUUCAAUGGUACACCUCCCAAGUUUGUUUUUCUCUCUCUCCAACCGUCUCUCCCUAGAUUUUUCUGCAUUUUCUUCAAACUCAUAUUUCCAUAUGAAAUUCAAUUACAUUCGAGCAUUUCAAUCUCUGUAGCUACUGUCUGAAUCAAUUAUAGGGUUUCUUUUUUCUGGAAGUUUGUAAUGUUAUUGAUUUAAGACUUCAUGUUUGGGGAUGUUUUGGGUGGCUUGUUCACUGGUAUUACUUGUGAUAAUUGCAGCUCUGGUGCUUUCAAUGACUGACAAUAGUUGAAACUAUGUUGAAUGCUUGUACUAAGGGAAUGGACUUCAGCUGCUCCAGGGUUAGUGCUAUAACAUCAGUAUUCACUCUUCAAGAAUGUAUAUAGUUGUUGUUUUGGAAUUUUGAAAUUACUUAGCAUCAGACAAUUUCUAACUCGGGAUUUGGAUUGGGAACCAUAAGUUAUCUCACCCUAGUGUUCUUUGGAAUAAUUAUAGGAUUUUGUAAGUAACUUUGGACUUGUUAGCAAUGUUCUGGAUUUGUGAAUAAUUUAUAGAAUACAUUGGGUGUUUUUUUUUUUUGGUCCAUCAAAAACUUCAAGAACUUUGAGGGUGAAUAAUGUAUGACUGUACUCUUCUCUAUCUCUGUGGUCAUAGCACACGUAUGAUUUGGUGCUUUUUUGCAGGCCUUCAACAGCAGCAAAGCAUCUGGUGGCUUGCAGUACUAAUCUUGCAUUAUAUUCUCUGUUUUGCAAUCAUUUGGUACUUUUUGUCCCAACCAAGGAUAGCUCUGUGCAAGCAGUCUCGACUGUGGAACAAGUAAAACAAAUGGUACCUGCUGAAGCUGAGAGUGCAGAUGAUAAACUGGUGCGGAAGGUGGUCAACCAAAAGAAUCAGACAGCAAAAACUAAAAAGCCCAUGAAGCCUGCUACUGAAGCAGUCUCAGCACCUGUUUCUAGGAGGGGUGAGAUUGAAGUGACUGAAGAAAAGGAGCAUCAGCAAACAAAGAAGGAAGAGGAGUUGGCCAGGAAGGUAGAGGAAUUGAGAAGUGAAGAAGAAGCAGCCAUGUUGAAGGAGCAAAGUCUGUUGGAGGAGAGAAAGCCAACGUUAAGGAGGCACUGGAAAGGCAACAAGGAACUGCAGAAAAGGCCAAUUUCUCUGUGAGUGCUGCCACCUUUUCAUGAUACAGCCAUCAUAAUGGAUGUUAAAAGCAGUCUAACUCUACAUACUUCCUUGCAUUAUACUAGUCAUUGAUGGGCUUAAAUUUUAAUUUAAAUGUAGUAUAAAUAUAUAAGUAGAUUGAUUGGGUCUGAAUUUGAACCUGGUUCGAGUCAUACUCCCAUCCAAUCCAAACUUGUGAUUGGGCUUGAAUUUCUUGGCCCAACCAGCGAAAUCAUUGACCAACGGCCCUUAGUUUGGGCUGGGCUUGAUGGUCCUCAGGUUAUGUAGGCUUAAUACUGAUUGGGUUUGGGCUUCCAUGCAGUUGUACUUGGAUUCUAUGUUUCCUAAUAUUAACACUAAAUUAGGUUUAAUUUAUAAUUAAAUAUAAUUAGUUUGAGACUAACUCCAAUCUUUAGUUAAACCAACUAAGUUUUAUGCAAAGGUUUAUAUUCCUAAUACCAUCAGGUAUUAUAGUAAAUACCAUUGAAAAACUAAAUUCAUGUGGAAGUUUCACUAGGUGAUACGACAUUAAAUUAUUAAGAUAAAAUUAAAAAAAGAUCAUGCUCGUAUGUCCCGUUGUUUGUCAUAAGAGAAUUUCUUUCUAGAUUUUUUUUUUUUUGCUCUUUUCAAUUCUAGAUAUUUUAAUAUAUCUUUACUUUUUCAAAAACAAUCCAUAGGAUUGUUCCCAAACAUAUAUCAUAUAAAUAUAUAUUUUUAAGAUUGAUUUUUAAGAAUGUUAUCAAAUAAACUCAUAAUAGCAUUUUUUUCUUUACAAUUACCAAUUCGUAUGAUGAAUUAAUUACUUUCAAUAACCGACAUCAUCUAAUCAAAAUUAUAAUUAAGUAUCAUAUUAAAAGAGUGUUUAAAAAAUCAAAUUUAAUAACUUAAAGUGAUUUAAUAAUUUAAUUUAAAUUAUUAAAAUAACUUGAUGUCACAAUUUAAAGUUAGAAAUGACUUAAUUUAUUUUUAUUUAAAUUUAAAACUAAGUUUACAAAAAAGGUUUAAAAUUCAUAUCAAUUAAGAAAUUAAGUCAUUAAGUUACUUUAAGCCAUUAAAUUGAUCUACCAAUUAAACACCCUUGAAGAUAUUACAUAAAGUUCACCUUCUACAUAUCAUGAAAAUUUAAAAUUAAUUACAACAUCAAGAAUCUUUAGUUCCUAAUCGAUAUCAUAUUUAAUCCUUGGUUGUAAAUUUCUUUACAUAUGUAGAUAUAUUUUUAUAUUGCAAGUGGGUUGCCGACUUUUCAUUUUAUACUAGUUUUGAAAUUAAGAUUGUAGUUUUUAUUUUGUCCAAAUCUAAUUUGGAGGGAGAAUCUUUAGAGGCUAUUUUAUAUUCAAAUAGGAAAAUUUUAAAUUUAAUAGUCCCACCUUAUAAAGGCAAAUAUCUUGGACCCUACAUGGGUGCCUCUUACAUGCAAAAGGACAAAGACUUAUUGAAAGCCUCUCUCAUUCACAUGGAUGCCAUCAUUCAUCAAAGUUGAAACAUGAAACCCACACAAAAGCAAUUUCAAUAUUUUUUUUCAUAACUAUAGCUGAGAAUCUCAAUAUUAUUAAAUAGUGACAAAAUUAAUUUCAAUAUUUUUUUUUCUUAUUUUUUGCUCCUUGUGGUUAUAUUUUCAUCUGGAAAGUAUUAAAUAUAUUAAAAAAGAAAAAAAUUAUAAAAAAAUUUUUUUCCUAGUUAAUUAUACUAUGAAAAAUAUAGAGUAAAAUAAAAUAUAAUUAAAAUUAGUUAAAAAAUUAUAUUUUUAUAAAAUUAUUUGACUUUUUUAUAAAAAUUUAAAAUAAGUGACAUGAGUUUGAAAUAGUAUAUAUAUUGACUUUAAUUCUUUCAAAUUAAUCACUAGGUUGUUAGAGACAUACACCUAUGAUCCAAAGGUUUUCCCAACAAAGAUAUCAAUAAAUCUUUCUACUCCAUUGAUUGCAUCUUGAAUUCUUUCAAAUUAAUCACUUCAUUGUAAUCAUUAUUCACUUCAUUGUGAUUUGUCAGACAACAAUUCAUUUCUGCUUCAUGGUUGGACCUUGAGGUAAGGCUUUAGAGGCAUAAGCCUCAAAAGCCUCUUAAAAUUGGUUCUACACUUCUUGCAUGAUGAAUGCAAGUUCCAAAUUUUGAUGACUUGGUAAUGUUGGAGUAAUUGGGUUGAAAGCAGUCAAACACAAAUAUUUAUUAAAGAAGAUAAAAAUUUGGAAGAAUUAAAAUUUUAUUGUAUUCUACCACUCUUUUUUUUAUUCAAAUAUUACAUAAUCCUUUAUUAACUAAAAAUGACAUAAUUAAAAGUAAAUUAUCAUUUGAUUGCAAUGGAUUUAAUAGAAUAUGGUGGAUAUGCUAAAUUUUUGUCUGAUAAUAAAAUUUGAUUUGAGUGAAUAUAAUUAGAGUAAAAUAGUCUUUUUAACUAUCACUUUUACAAUAAAAAGUGUUUUAUUUAAACAAAUAUUUAAUAAAAUUUUAAAAACAUUUGAUAAAUAAUUAUUAUAAAAACUCUUCCUCGAAAAUACUUCAAAGUUCGUCGGAUGGUAAAUUAUACAUCAAGAUCUUAAUGAUGGUCCAUGCAACCAUCACCAUUGAUUGUUUUUGAAAACACAACUUCAAUUUAAAUAAUAUUUUAAGGUAACUCCUAGUUAUCAUAUUUUACAAGAUAUUUUUUAAAAUUAUUGUUUUUUUUCUUUCAAAAUCCUAAGAGAGAGGUCACCAAUAUCAAAAUAAUGUGACCCAUCUCUAUACUAUUGUCUCCAUUAUUUGGACUAUAUCAUAGUUUCCUUAUUGACAACAUGGUAGCCAUGUUAAAUACCUACAACUUUGAAAACAAGAUCUCAAAACUAUGCCUAUUUGAUUAUAAGGCUUAAUUAUUAUAGUUUAUCAUUUCCUAGCAUAUAUAGUUCUUAGCAUCUAAGUAUUUGUUAUAUAAGAAUUUUUCUCAUUUUUCAAGCUUGCAUUUUGUUUAGAAAUUUUUUGAGUUUUUUACAAUCAUUUUGAAAAUGUCAACUCAUAAUUAUAUACAUUUUAGUUCUAUAAGGACUAAAAUCACUUAACAUCAUGGUAAUACUAUUUAAGGUAAUUUGCUUUGAAUCAGAAUGAACUUAUAUACAACUUACGAUUUAUGGUAAUAAUAGAGAUCGAAUUUAAAAAUACAUAAGUUUUCAAUUAAAUAUUAAUAUAUUUAUGUUUCCUUCUUAUUUUUAAUCCUAAAACACAUUAAAUGUAUGCUCUUGAAUUCCUCCAUGUAAUGCGAUUUGAUAUAAUGAUAAAUCAACAAUUAUGAUUUAAUAAUAUGGUGCUUUGACUUUUGACAUUUAAGUAACACCGUCAAUAAAAGCUCCAUAUCUUUGCUUCAUGGAAGAACGUACAAAUGAUGUGAUUGAAUUACAUUUCAAUUAUGUUUGAUUCUUUGAAAAUACUCAAGAAAAAUAAAUAUUUAAAAAAAUAAUUUUCUCAUAUUUGAUUUUACUAUAAAAAAAAUACAUAAUUAAAAUUAGUAAUAAAUUUAAAUAAUUUUAAAUUACUUAAUCUUUAUAUAAAAAAGUUAAAUUAGUAAAACGAGUUUAAAACAUGAUAUAAAGGUAAUUUAUUGACUUUAAUUUUUUUUUUUUACUUCACUUUUUCUUUCCUUCUCUUUGAUGAGAUCAUCUUAGAUAAAUUGUUAAUUGAUUGCAGCAUAUUCAAUUGAAUUCGAUAGUCUAGGUAUCAUAAAUCAUACAUGUUGUGCACCAUUUACAGUAAAUGAACCGUCACAAACCAUACAUAGAGGAGAUGUUGAUUUCAUUAUAAAUCAUACGAUAAUUACAAAAGAUAUGAUAUUAACUUGCAGUAAAUUGCAACAUCGGCACUCUAAUGCUAGACAAAGUAACUAGACAAAGUAAGUCUAAUUAUUGCUAACUUUCCUCAUCUUUCUUGGGCCUUUUGGGUGCUUUUUGUGCAAAAGAGAAAAAGCUAUAACUAAAUUGCCAAUCCAUCACCGACGUUAUAGACUGAUGAAGAAUACCAAAGGGAGUGUUACGAAAUAAUGAGAAUAAAUAAUAAGAAAAAUAGAAUAAGAACACAUAGAUAUACGUGAAAAACUUUAGAUGGGAAAAAUCAUGAGAAAACGAGAAAAAGAUCCGUUAUGUCAAAAAUUGGUACAAAAUGGGAGAGUUGAAAGCGACUACAACAAAAGUAUAAUCAUCGUAACCCUAAAACUAUACAUCAUUAUUAUAUAUAUAUAUAUAUGUAUAUAUAUAUAUAUGCGAGAGUUGAGAACAACUAUGGGAUGAGGUCUAUCGACUCGAUCCCUUCACUACCCCCACAAAUCUCUCAAAAAAUCUCAUAAUUUUAACUUUACUACAUAUAUUGCAUCGCGAGCUUUUCGAAUUGAAUAAAAAAGAAUUUGGAAUCAUCAAACAGUAACAAAGGGAGUGAGAUCAUAACUUUGGAAGGAUUUUUUUUUUUUUUAAAUGUAGACUUGAAUGGUAAAUACUAAAAUGUGUUUGAGAGUGAUACUUGAAAGUAUUUUUAAUAUUUUUAAUAUUCGAAAAAUAAAAAAUUUUCAAAUAUUAAAAAUAUUUCCUAAAAUCAAUAUCAAAAACCAUUUUACAAAAUCAGUAUCAAACUAUCAAACAUAAUUUGAAUUUAAAUAGAGACAAGAACAACAUUGACUCUUGACUCACCAAACCAGUCCUAGUUCACUUAUUGAAUGAAAAGAAAAUAAUUAAAAAUAAAUAACAGCAUCCAUUCUACCAUGUUAUGAAGAGUAAAAGACAAUGGAGAUUUUAACUUUGUUGCCUUAAAAGUCAUGCCCCCUUUCAUGAGUAUAUAUAAUAAAAUAUAUUCGUUUGCAUCUCUUGAAUGCAAAUAAUUUGAUAAUUUUUUUAUAAUUAAUUUAUGAAGAUAACAAUUUGAUAAUUAGACAAUUAUGUUGAUAUUUUGACAUUAUUAUCAAUUUACCAAAUAAGAUUGUUUUUCACCCAACAAUAAUUUACUUAGAAUAAUAAAUAAAUUAAAUUAGCUAACGUAACCAAAGCAUUUGAUUAAAAAUUGGUUUUCAUUUACAAAGAUAAGUUGAAAAUUAAUUUUAAUUUGAUUUAAUUAGGAAAUUAAUUUUUUGCUUGUUAAGUUUGUUUUAAUUUGUAAAUUCAUGUAAAUAAAAAAAAGGAUAAAAAGAUAAUUUUCAUGUGAAAAUUCAUUUAAUUUGAAAAUAAAUGAUGUAAUGUGUUUCAUUGUCGGUUAGCAUUUUUCUUUUUUUCUUGUUUGUAUAACUUUUUAAAAUGUAAAAGAUAAUAAUAAAAUAAGAAAUAAUCAAUAAAUUAAAAAAAUAAAAUAAAUGAUCUCACUAAAAAUGUUUUUUUACCUUAUGUCAUAUGACUUGGAUUAUUUUUUUUCUCUUUUCAGUAAAACAAACUUUUAAUAUAAAUAAAAAAAUAAAAUAGGACAUAGAGGAAAAUAGCUAAAGAGUAUAAAAAAAAUUCAAAAUAAUGCACUAAAAAUGGAAAGAGAAUAUGGUGAGUAGUUGAAUAAUAAUAAAUAAAAAAAAGUCAAAAAAGCUUCAAUACUCUUUGAAUCCACUGUUAGUGAAUGCCAAAAGGCAUACAUCAUACACGCAACUAGAAAUAAAAUGGUAAAAUAUAAAGAAAAGAGUCAGAAAAAGCACGAAGACUACAAUUAAUAAUCGUGGCAGGACUUCGACUCUCGUGAACCCCCCACUGUCACUCAAUGCUAUAGGGUUACAGGCUUGGAGCCAAUCAAAGAUAAUUGAGACAGAAGAACCAGACAUCCUCAACACCAUCGUCUCAGACUCUCAGCAUUCAAAGACCCCUUUGUAUUUUCUUCUUCCAAAUUCUGUUCUUGUAAUUUUGUUACAAUCCAACCAUGGCUUCCACUAGCAAUCCCAAGAGACCCUCUUCUUCUUCUAAUUCUAAAUGGAGGUACGAUGUGGUCUUGAGUUUCAGAGGCGAGGAUACCCGCAACAACUUUACUAGUCAUCUCUACAAGGCUUUGGAUCAUGCCAACAUUGAAACCUUUAUAGAUGAUGAAGGACUUCCAAGGGGAGAAGAGAUUGCGCCCGAGCUCCUAAAAGCUAUUGAAGGAUCAAGGAUUGCCCUUAUUGUCUUCUCGAAAACCUAUGCUCAUUCCAAGUGGUGCUUGGAUGAACUCGUCAAGAUCAUGGAGUGCGAGAAAGAAAAGGGACAACAGGUUUUUCCUAUUUUCUAUCAUGUAGAGCCGUCUGAAGUCAGGAACCAGACUGGGAUUUAUGGAGAAGCAUUUAACAAUCACGAAAGAAAUGCAGACGAGGAGAAGAAGAAGAAGAAGAUAGAGCAGUGGCGGACUGCCUUAAGGAAAGCUGGUAAUUUGAGUGGAUUUCCUCUGCAGGAUAGGUAAUCCCUACUUCACUUUUUCCAUUCCCAAUUUUCUGUCAGUUUAUUUUCAUUCUUGUUAAUAAAUAAAAUAUUUAUGAUUACAUUUAUCAAUCAAAAUCCAUUUUUAAGUAGUAGACAUUAAUAUGUUCGAUUUCUUGGAAAGUAAUAAGAAAGAGUAAAAAAAAAAAAAAAAAAGAUUUUCUCACAUUUAAUUUAUUAUUAAAAUUAUAAAAGGAAAUCAAAUAUAAUUAAAAUAUAUCAGAAAAAAUUAUAUUUGCCCAGCAGGUGGAAAUGCCAAGUUUUGAAUUGUUAAAAAUCUUUAAGAUUCCAAAAUAUUCUUCCUUUCUAAUCGAUCCAUCUUAGCCAUAAUUUCUAUCAGUUAAAAAAAAUGGUAGUCUGUCAAAUAAAUUGUUAAAAUUGGUUAUUUAUAUGCCUUGUAAAUUUGGAGAUAAUCUGAGAUGAUUAUUUAAAAUAUUGUAAUACUACCCUAAAUUUUUUUGGACCCUCUUAUGGGACAAAAAACUUAGUUAUUGCACCCUUAACCUUUUUCAAUUUUAGAGGAAUUUUCCAUUACUUAAAUAAUUUUCUCUUCUUCUCUGUGCACUACAUGAGUUUACAUUUCUUCUUUACUUAAUAUUGUUUGUUCCUCUAUAUUUGCAAGUUGAUUAUUAAAUUUAUUUACCUUUUAAUCUAAUGUUUGUAUCUCGUUUUAUUCUAAUUAUCCCAUGACUCUUCUUAAGACCUUGUCUUUCACGUUGAAUCAUCUAAUGCUAAACUUAUUCCCUUACUAUUCUACUUUGUGUACUCAUGGGAUUAAUGUAUUGCAAUCAAAAUUAUUUUUUUUAAUCUCUUUUUCUCUUGUAUGUUCUACAUUCCUCUAUACCUCACAAAUAAAAGCAAGUAACCUUACAGCUUGUUUGACAAUAUAUUUGCAACUAAUGUUCAAAAAAUAGUUUUCCCCAACACAAUGUUGAAAAUAAUGAACAAAAUUUUAUUUGAAAAUUCAAAUAUGAAGAACGACUUUCUCGACUUAUUAACUAUGAAGGUGCUAUAAAUUUUUGUACAACAUAACAAUUCUCUAAGUAUUAUCUAUAUUUUCAAUUCUUUAUCACAAUACUCUAUAAGAAAAUACCUAAAAACAUUUCAAAUAUGCUCUUAAAAAUGAACUUGUUUACCAAACAAAUUUUUGAAAAUUAUUUUUAAUAAAAGAAAAAAUUAAAAAUAUAAUCAAGUGACAUGAAAUAUGGGAUGAAAAAUAAUAAGUUCUGUAUAUUAGAUUGACUAUACACACAGUUUAUAUUGGAUAUUACAAGAGAAGAAAUAAGAAACAAGAGACAUAAUAGAAAACUAACUUAUUCAUAAACUAACUUAUUCCUAAAUCAUAAAACUAUCUAUUUACAAAAAUAAAAAACUAAUAUAAUAUGAAAAUAAUUCUCCUAUUCUAUUUACAGCUCAAUUACAACCUAUUUACAGCUCAACACUCCCCCUCAAGCUAAGGAAUAGAUGUCUUCCAUUCCAAGCUUGAAUACAAGAUCGUGAAACAUUGAACUGUUCAGCCCUUUUGUUAGGAUAUCAACUAAUUGAUGUUUUGAUGGAACAUAGGACAUACACACUACUCCUUCCUCCAAUUUUUCUUUGAUAAAAUGCCUAUUAAUCUCAAUAUGUUUUGUCCUAUUGUGUUGUAUAGGGUUAUGAGCAAUAUUGAUAGCUGACUUGUUGUCACAAUAGAGCUUCAUAUGACCAUCCCACUUGAUUCUCAAAUCAUCUAGAAUAAUCUUCAGUCAAAGUAGUUCAUACAACCCUUGAGCAAUGUCCCUAAACUCUGAUUUUGCAGACGACCUUGCUACCACAUUCUGCUUUUUACUUUUCCAUGUUACCAGAUUACCUCGAGGAAAAGUACAAUACCCUAUAGUUGAUCUUCGAUCCACUAGGGAACCUGCAUAGUCAACGUCAGUAUAUGCUUCUAGAGUAAGAGUAUUGUUCUUUUUGAACAAAAUUCCUUUCCCGGGGUUGCCUUUCAAGUAAUGCAGCACCCUGUAAGCAACUUGAAGAUGAGGUUCUCUUGGAUCAUGCAUGAAUUGACUGAUCACGCUCACCGAGUAGGCGAUGUCUGGCAAGUGUGAGCAAGGUAUAUGAGCCUACCAACUAGCCUUUGGUACAUUCUUUUAUCCACCACUGGUUCUUCUUUAGCUUCUCCCAACUUGUGAUUUGGAUCCAUUGGGGUAGAGACUAGUUUACACCCAAUCUUCCUUGUUUCUGUCAAUAAAUUAGUCACAUACUUUUGUUGAUAGAUGAAGAUCUCUUGUGUGGAAUAUGCCACCUCAAUAUUGAGGAAGUGCUUUACUUUCCCUAGUUCCUUUAUCUCAAACUCUGUUGCUAAUCUUUGCUUCACUUCAUGCUUUUCUCUCUCAUCAUUUCCAGUCAUUAUGAUGUCGUCAACAUAGACUAGAAAAGCAAUUACUCCCCCUGUAGCCGAGUGCUUAAUGAAGAGAGUGUGGUCACCUUGGCUUUGCUUGUACCCAUACUCUUUCAUGACUUUUUCAAAUCUCUCAAACCAAGCCCUAGGAGAUUGUUUUAGCCUAUAAAGGGCCUUUUUCAGCCUACACACCUUGUUACCUAUGUUUCCCUCAAAUCUUGGUGGGAUGUUCAUGUAAAUCUCUUCAUCUAAAUCACCAUGAAGAAAUGCAUUCUUAACAUCAUACUAUAGGAGUUGCCAAUUGUAGUGGGUAGCCAAGGACAGUAGGAUUCUUAUAGUAUUCAUUUUUGCAACUGGAGCAAAAGCCUCCUGAUAAUCAACUCCAUAAGUUUGAGUGUACCAUUUGGCUACCAAUCUUGCUUUAUGUCUCUCAAGAGAUCCAUCAGUCUUAUAUUUCAGCGUGAAAAUCCACUUGCAAUUAACAAUGUUUUUCCCUUUCGUCUUUCAACAAUCUCCCAUGUUUUAUUAUUUUCUAAUGCAUUCAUCUCCUCUCUCAUAGCAUCCUUCCAUUCCCUUUUUGUCAAUACCUCAGAAACAGUGUUAGAGAUGAUAGUGGUGUUUAAACUCACAAUGAAAUUCUUGUGGGCUAGUGAUAGGUGCUUAAGAGACACAUAGUGUGAUAGUGGAUAGAGUGGUUAAUUAGUGCAUUAUCCGGUGCCUUUUCUGACAGCAAUGAGAAGGUCUAGGUCUAGGUUGUCUGUUGAGUCAAUGGAAGUUUCACCAAGUUGUGUAUGUAAAGGUGGGUCUAAUCUUACCGUGAUUUCAUUCCUAGGAUUUGAGUUGGAUUCUUGGACCUGCUAUUGUUCUGGAAUGACCUUUUCCCUUUAAUACAUCUUAGGAAACUGUGGAAAAUUACAAGUGACACUGGUUGGAAUAGGGAAUGACACGGGUUUAGUGGUAAAAUUGGGUGACUCAGGUGUGAUUAGUUCGGAUGACUCAAGUUCUUCAUCACCAUGGGUUGAGACAUGAGGAAGGUUAAGAGGUUCAAAGGAGUCACAAGGACUAUCCUCCAUCAUUGAAAUCUCCCCCUAAAUAGAGGACUUGGGAAAAAAGGUUUAUUUUCUGUGAAGGUGACAACUGCAGAGAUGUAAAAUUUUCUGGCUAAGGGAUUGUAACACUUGUAUCCUUUUUGAGUAGAUGAGUAAACCAAGGAAGACACAUUUUAUGGCUCGGGGGUCUAGCUUGUCUCUAUGAUGGUUGUGGACAUGAACAAAUGCAAUGCAUCAAAAUACACUAGGAGUGAGCCCAUAUGAGGUUCUAAAGUGUGGAUAGAAACUCUUAAGUAUCUCUACGGGGCUUUUGUUGUCUAACACUUGUGAGAGAAUUCUAUUUAUCAUGUAUGUGGCAGUAAGAACAGCUUCCCCCCAAUAGGACUUAGGAACAUUCCCUUGAAAGAGUAAGGCUCGGGUUGUGUUGAGUAAAUGCCCAUUUUUUCUCUCGGGUAUCCCAUUUUGUUGGGGUGUGUUAACACAUGAUGAGUCAUGGAGAAUGCCCUGUGAUUGAAAAUUGGGUGACAAAGUAUGGUUAAAGUAAUCUCUAGCAUUGUCUGUCUUAAAACUUUUUAUUUUAACCCCAAAUUGGUUUUGAACCAUUGAGUGGAAAUUAGGUAUAACAAUGCUAACAUCAGAUUUUUGUUUAAGAAGAAAGAUCCAUGUAAUCUGAGUGCAGUCAUCAAUUAAGGAUACAAACCAACGAGCCCCAUAAACAUUAGGUAUAGUCGAAGGACCCCAUAUGUCACUAAGAAUCAAAUGAAAAGGAUGAGAACUUCUUUUAUUGCUAAUAGGAAAAAAUUCACGAGUAUGUUUUGUCAAUUCACAAGUUUUGUAAUGAAACUUAGAAAUAUCUAAUCCUUGAAACAAAUGAGGAAACAUGACCUUUAAAACCCUAAAAGAUGGAUGACCUAGACGUAGGUGAUACAACCAAAUGGUAUCUUUAUUUAAGGAACUCUAAAAAGACACACAAAUUAUUACUAGUUUUCUGAGAUGAUUCAAGGUGAUAAAGACCGCUCAUUUCCUUAGCAAGUCCAAUCCUCCUUCCCGAGCCUUGUUCCUGAAAAACACAAUAAGAAUGGAAAAAAAUAGCAGAACAUUUAAGAUCAUGGGUAAGCUUUUGAAUGGAAACAAGGUUGGCCGACAAUUUUGGUACAUGGAGGACAUUUUUAAGAAUAAGGGUAGGUGUGAUAUAUAUGUCUCUGAAACCUGCAACGGUAACUAAAAAGCCAUUGGCCAUUGCAAUUUUCUUGUUACUUGGGUUUGAGGUAUAGGUAUGGAAAAGUUGAGAUUUGGAGGUCAUAUGGUCUGUGGCACCGAAGUCUAUUAUCCAAUAGUCAUUAUAAACCUUGUGUGAGGCAUUUAUGCAAAAUGAGAGUGAAGGUGUACCUGAAUUUUCCAACAUCUUCCACGAAAAAAAAAACCUGAUCUCUUGGGAAUUAAGGUAGAUCGCGAAACAAAAAAACCAGCAACAAUGAAGGUUGGUAAAAGAACACGUGAAUAAAAAAAAUCUAACUAUGAAGGCCAGAAAAAUGGCGAUGAAGGCCAGAAUGAUGCCCAGGUCUUAAAAACCUACUGCUCUGAUACCAUGACACGAAAUGUGGGAUGAAAAAUAAUAAGUUUUGUAUAUUAGAUUGACUAUAUACAUAGUUUAUAUUGGAUAUUAUAAGAGAAGAAAUAGGAAACAAGAGACAUAAUAGGAAACUAACUUAUUCCUAAAUCAUAAAACUAUCUAUUUACAAAAAUAGGAAACUAACAUAAUAGGAAAAUAAUUCUCCUAUUCUAUUUACAGCUCAAUUACAACCUAUUUAUAGCUCAACAUUAAGUUAUAAAACUAUUUUAUAUUCUAAAGAAAAAAAAAAUCUAUUUUCAAAAACAAUAUCUAUAUAAGCAUUUUUCUUUUAAGUAUGAUUUUAAAAUGUUUUUCCAUGAGUCUAAUUGUUGCUAGGAUUUUGACCAAUAAACAAAUAUGUGUGACUUUCCUCGUCAUUGUAAUUUAUAUUUGGGAAAAAAAUGGGGAUUUCAUCAAAAUAUGAAACUUAUGUAACAAUUAUUAGCAACCUAAAUAUAAAUAAAACUAAAACGGAGAAUUUACUUGUUUAUGGAAUAAAUAGUUGAAAAUUUUAUAAGCAUUGAGGAUGGUCAUAAAUCAUGUUGUAAUUAAUAAAAGCAUUUCUAGGUUAUGGAACUUGGGUGGCAAAUUGGUAGAUUUCUAGCCAAACUAGUAUUUGUCUCUAUAAUAAAAUCUCUUAUCAUAAAGGGUAAUGAUACUUUAGAAAGGUCAACUUCAAAUUGGGCCUUUAGAAGCAAUUAAGAUAUUUACAUUAUUUUAUUGCAUGUAUACUUGACAUGACAUAAUGAAAUUUUAUUUAAACAUGCAAUUCAACACAUUUUUAAUUUACAUUCUAUUUGACCUUAAUUUAAUGGCACCGAACGAAACUAAGAAUCAUUCUAUAAUUUCCAUUUACUUCAUCUUUGUUUUCUUUGACAAUUGAUUGUAGCUCACUGCAUGUUUUAUUGUACUUUAUAAUGGACAGAUUUGAGUCAGAGUUUAUUCAAGAAAUCAUUGGUGAGAUUCGAAGAUUAACUCCUAAGUUGGUACAUGUUGGUGAGAACAUAGUUGGAAUGGAUGAAAAUUUGAAAGAGGUGGAGUUAUUGAUAAACGCCCAAUCAAAUGGAGUGAGCAUGGUUGGGAUUUAUGGGAUUGGUGGGAUUGGUAAAACUACCAUUGCCAAGGUUGUUUACAAUGAUAUGUUAGAUCAAUUUCAACGUCACAGCUUUCUUGAAAAUGUGAGGGAGAAAUCUAAAGAUGAUCAUGGUUUGCUUGAAUUACAAAAAAAACUUCUUUGUGAUAUCCUAAUGGAGAAAAAUCUGAAGUUAAGAAAUAUUAAUGACGGUAUCAAAAUGGUAAAGAGGAAGUGUCGCAUUGAAAAGGUUCUCAUUGUUCUUGAUGAUGUAGAUUGUCAAAAACAAUUAAAAUUCUUAGCUCCUAAUUCUGAAUGUUUUCAUCAAGGAAGCAUAAUCAUCGUGACCACGAGAAAUAAACGUUGCCUAGAUGUACAUAAGUCAUAUUCAUCAUAUGAGGCUAAGGGAUUAGCACACACGCAAGCUAAGGAACUCUUUUGUUGGAAUGCCUUUCAGCAAGACCAUCCCGAGUAUGAGGACCUCUCUAAUUGUAUACUAGAUUAUGCUAAAGGCCUUCCAUUGGCUCUUGUAGUUUUGGGUUCUUUUCUCUAUCAAAGGGAUGUGGAUUACUGGGAAAGCACACUGCAUAAACUAAAAACAAACCCUCUUGAGGAUAUUCAAAAGGUACUCCAGAUAAGUUAUGAUGGACUAGAUAAUAAAUGGAAGGAGUUGUUUCUUGAUAUUGCAUGUUUCUUCAGAAAUGAGGAUAAAAAAGUUGUUACAAGAAUACUAGAAGGUUGCAAAUUCCAUCCUAAGUCUGGACUAACGGUUCUUCAUGAGAGGUGUCUUAUUUCUAUAACAGACGACACCAUAAGGAUGCAUGACUUGUUACAAGAAAUGGGUUGGGCAAUUGUUCGCCAAAAUUUUCCAGAACAUCCUGAAGAAUGGAGCAGAUUGUGGGAAUUACAGGAUAUUAAAAGUGUUUUACCACAAAAUAAGGUAGGAGAAAAAUACAUGAACUUACUUGAGAUCUAAAGACAUAUAAAAGAUUCAACAAGAAUUAUUUUUAUUAUUAUUAUAGUUUUGAGUAUCUUAUCUAUAUAAUUUUAGUGAAUCCCUAUGCAUCUUAUAUUGCUUAUUCUCAAUGCUUGUUUUCAGGGGACAAAAAACAUAGAGGGGAUAUCCAUAAAUCGGUCUUGGGAUAGUAAAAAACGUAUACAACUUACUGCUGAAGCUUUCAGAAAGAUGAAUCGACUUAGAUUGCUCAAAGUUAAAGGCGAUAUGGUGCAGCUUUCCUAAGACUUUGAAUUGCCUUGUCAUGAUUUAGUAUAUUUUCAUUGGGAUAACUACCCUUUGGAAUAUUUGCCAUCAAAUUUUCAUGUAGAAAAUCCUGUUGAACUUAACCUCUGGUACAGCAACAUAGAACAUCUUUGGGAAGGAAACAUGGUAUUGCUAUUAUUUAGUUAUAUUUUUGCUCUAGACUAAUUUUAAAGUCUUUUGAAGUUUACUUAUUGAAACGAAUUUUCUUCUGUUACAGCCUGCUAAAAAGUUAAAAGUCACUGAUCUUAGUUAUUCCAGGCAUCUGGUUGACAUUUCAAACAUCUCAAGUAUGCAAAAUUUGGAGACUCUAAUUCUAAAAGGUUGUACAAGGUUACUUAAGUGUUUCACCCAUGCUUAAUGUUAUUAUUAGUCAUGAACUAACUGUUUUCUUGAAUAUAAUAGGAUGCAAGAGACUUGAGAGUCUUCCAAGGAACUUUCAUAAGCUGGAAUGCCUUCAAACACUCUCUUGUGAUGGCUGUUCAAACUUAAAAGUUUUCCGAAGAUCAAGGAAGAAAUGAGAAGUCUAAGAAAGCUUAAUUUAAGUCAUACAAGUAUAAUGGAAUUAACAUCAUCAAUUAGGCAUCUAAAUGGGCUUGAAGAGUUGGACUUAAGUAAUUGCAAAAACCUUUUGAGUCUUCCGGACAGUAUUGGUAGUUUGAACUCUCUUCAAACUCUCGAUCUAGUUGAGUGUUCAAAACUAGUGGGUUUUACAAAUAUCAAUAUUGGAAGUCUAAAAGCUCUUGAAUAUUUGGAUUUGUCAUGGUGUGAGAACCUUGAGAGUCUUCCAAAUAGUAUUGGUAGUUUGAGCUCUCUUCAAACUCUUUUAUUGAUAGGGUGUUCAAAAUUGAAGGGCUUUCCAGAUAUCAAUUUUGGAAGUCUAAAAGCUCUUGAAUUGUUAGAUUUCUCACACUGCAGAAACCUUGAGAGUCUUCCUGUGAGCAUUUACAAUUUGAGCUCUCUCAAAACUUUGGGGAUUACAAAUUGUCCAAAACUCGAGGAAAUGUUAGAGAUUAAAUUAGGGGUUGAUUGGCCAUUUUCACCUCUAACCUGUCACAUUUCAAAUUCAGCAAUAACCUGGUAUGAUGACUGGCAUGACUGCUUUUCCUCAUUAGAAGCAUUAAACCCACAGUGCCCCCUGUCAUCACUGGUAGAAUUAUCUGUAAGAAAGUUUUAUGGCAUGGAAGAAGACAUCCUCAGUGGCAGUUUCCACCUAUCCUCAUUGCAAAUAUUAUCUCUAGGGAACUUCCCUAGCGUGGCAGAAGGAAUCCUCGAUAAGAUUUUCCAUCUAUCCUCGUUGGUAAAAUUAUCUCUUACUAAAUGCAAGCCAACGGAAGAAGGAAUCCCUGGUGAUAUUUGGAACCUAUCUCCACUGCAACAAUUAUCUCUACGUGACUGCAAUCUAAUGGAAGGAAAGAUCCUCAAUCAUAUUUGCCAUCUAACAUCCUUGGAAGAAUUAUAUCUGGGUUGGAACCAUUUUAGUAGCAUACCUGCUGGCAUCAGUCGACUUUCUAAUCUAAAGGCCCUUGACUUGAGUCAUUGCAAGAACCUUCAACAAAUUCCAGAGCUUCCAUCAAGUCUACGAUUUUUAGAUGCGCACUGUUCGGAUGGUAUUUCAUCAAGCCCCUCGCUUCUACCUAUUCAUUCUAUGGUCAAUUGCUUCAAAUCAGAAAUUGAGGUAUGAUUCUCAUGCCACGUUCCUCUUUCUUUUGUACCCAUUGAAUUUACAUGGUGCUUUUGUGCAGGACCGCAAGGUUAUUAAUCAUUAUUCUUACUUCUGGGGCAAUGGAAUUGGUAUUGUUAUUCCUAGAAGUAGUGGAAUUCUAGAGUGGAUAACAUAUCGGAAUAUGGGAAGGAAUGAAGUAACAGUAGAGCUCCCUCCGAAUUGGUAUAAAAAUGAUGACUUGUGGGGAUUUGCUUUAUGCUGUGUUUAUGUUGCACCUGCCUAUGAAUCUCAGUAUGAAUUAGGUCAUAUAUCUAAGGAUGACGCUGAACUUGAAGAUGAAGGACCAGGGUUCUGUUGUGAUUUGAGUAUCGAAGGAAAUAAUCAAUCAGGAGACGUGGGUUUUUUCCUUCUUUAUUCUUGCUGUGUUAAAUAUGAUGUGUCAGAUAUGCAGUGGGUGAUAUGUUAUCCCAAGUUAGCUAUUGAGGAAAGUUAUCACACCAAUCAAUGGACACACUUCAAGGCUUCAUUUGGUGGUGCCCAAGUGGAAGAGUGCGGAAUCCGUCUUGUAUACACAGAAGAUUAUGAACAGAAGCAUCCAGCAAUGGCACAAGGCAGUACUUCUCAUGGGAAUUUUGGUGAGCAUGGAUCGGUAAGAGAAGAUACUGAUAGUAAGCUCACAAUAAAAGGAAUCCCACAGAACAGAGCCCAAGAGAGGAGUCACACCAUAAAAGAUCCAUAGAAACCCAAGACUGAUCCCAAGUAUUAGGCUCAACCACACUUGCAUCACUAAUGCUAUCUUUACUGGUAAUUCAUCUUCCUUUCUCUUUCUAAUUCAAAGGUCAGAAUUUUUUUUUAUCGUGUUUCUCCUUUUUAUUUGUCUUUUUCCCCAAGACAAACAAAACUUUGAGGCUAUCACCCAUGGGCGCAAACUUCAAUGGUACACCUCCCAAGUUUGUUUUUCUCUCUCUCCAACCGUCUUUCCCUAGAUUUUUCUGCAUUUUCUUCAAACCCAUAUUUCCAUAUGAAAUUCAAUUACAUUCGAGCAUUUCAAUCUCUGUAGCUACUGUCUGAAUCAUUUAUAGGGUUUCUUUUUUCUGGAAGUUUGUAAUGUUAUUGAUUUAAGACUUCAUGUUUGGGGAUGUUUUGGGUGGCUUGUUCACUGGUAUUAAUUGUGAUAAUUGCAGCUCUGGUGCUUUCAAUGACUUUGACAAUAGUCGAAACUAUGUUGAAUGCUUGUACCAAGGGAAUGGACUUCAGUUGCUCUAGGGUUAGUGCUAUAACAUCAGUAUUCACUCUUCAAGAAUGUAUAUAGUUGUUGUUUUGGAAUUUUGAAAUUACUUAGCAUCAGACAAUUUCUAACUCGGGAUUUGGAUUGGGAACCAUAAGUUAUCAUUAGAGAGUGUAUGAGAAGGAAUUUUAGAGUGAGAUGGGUGAUGCAUGUUGAGGGAUGAAAGAGGGAUGUAUCUCACCCUAGAGUUCUUUGGAAUAAUUAUAGGAUUUUGUAAGUAACUUUGGACUUACUUGCAAUGUUCUGGAUUUGUGAAUAAUUUAUAGAAUGCAUUGGGUUUUUUUUUUUUGUUUUUUUUUUUGGUCCAUAAGAAACUAAAAGAACUUUGAGAGUGAAUAAUGUAUGACUGUACUCUUCUCUAUCUCUCUGGUCAUAGCACACGUAUGAUUUGGUACUUUUUUGCAGGCUUCAACAGCAGCAAAGCAUCUGGUGGCUUGCAGUACUAAUCUUACAUUAUAUUCUCUGUUUUGCAAUCAUUUGGUACUUUUUGUCCCAACCAAGGAUAGCUCUGUGCAACAGUCUCGACUGUGGAACAAGUAAAACAAAUGGUACCUGCUGAAGCUGAGAGGGCAGAUAAUAAAUUGGUGCGGAAGGUGGUCAACCAAAAGAAUCAGACAGCAAAAACUAAAAAAGCCGAUGAAGCCUGCUACUGAAGCAGUCUCAGCACCUGUUUCUAGGAGGGGUGAGAUUGAAGUGACUGAAGAAAAGGAGCGUGAGCAAACAAAGAAGGAAGAGGAGUUGGCCAGGAAGGUAGAGGAAUUGAGAAGUGAAGAGGAAGCAGCCAUGUUGAAGGAGAAAAGUCUGUUGGAGGAGAAAGCCAACGUUAAGAAGGCAUUGGAAAGGAAACAAGGAACUGCAGAAAAGGCCAAUUUCUCUGUGAGUGCUGCCACCUUUUCGUGAUACAGCCAUAAUAAUGGAUGUUAAAAGCAGUCUAACUCUACAUGGCGUUUAUUUUCCCCAGCCAUAGAUUGGAAUCUGCCAGUCUGACUCUCAUAAGAAAGAAAAUUUUCCAUCGAUCCUCGUAUGGAUUAUUGGAGAAGAUUUUAACAUGGAGUUCACAAGAGAGUUUCUAACACCCACUUAAAAGGACAUUUUAGAAAACUUAUUGAAAAAUAACAUGAGAGUACAUAAAUUUUUAGAUAUUUUUAAAAAUAUUUGAAAAUUUAAAUUAACUAAAAGUAUUUGAAAAAUAUUUGAUUGAAUUAACAAAUAUCAAGUAUUUGCAUAUGAAAAAAUAAUAAACAUUGUGAAGAAUUUUUUUAUUAAUUAGUGCAUAAUAAUUUUAUUUUCCUUUUAAUCACAAAUUAAUCUAUGGCAAAAUCUCAUAUUUGUUGUAGGGACAAUGUUGUCUUACAUUUUUCUUUCAUGAUGGACUCAAAUUUUAAUUUAAAUGUAGUAUAAAUAUAUAAUUAGAUUGAAAUUUCGUCCACUAAGAUUGAUUGGGUAUGAAUUUGAACCCUCGUUCGGGUCAUACUUCCAUCCAAUCCAAGCUUGUGGUUGGGCUUGAAUUUCUUGGCCCAACCAGUAAUGUCAUUGACCAAUAGCCCUUAGUUUGGGCUGGGCUUGAUGGUCCUCAGGCUAUGCAGACUUAAUACUCAUUGGGUUUGGGAUUCCAUGUAGUUGUAAUUAGAUUCUAUGUUUCCUAAUAUUAACACUAAAUUAGGUUUAAUUUAUAAUUAAAUAUAAUUAGAAGAGGAAAAUGAAAUAUCAUAUCCUUGCAAUGAGUUAUGUGGAUAUUUCAUUUAAAAAGUCUAAUGUGAAAGGUUGUUAUGGGUAGUCGUUUUUUGAUGCAAAUUUUCUAUGGAGUCCUAAUCUUAGAAGGCAAUAGAAAAUUCACAACCAAGAUUUCUUAAAAAUAACUACAUUAAAGUGUAAACAAAAUAUCAAACUAGAAUUUCUUAGAAAUAUCAAACUAGAAAGUGAAAUAUAAUACAAUUCAAGUAUGAAAAUGAAGGACAAAAGAAUAGACCAAAUUUGAAAGACCGUUCAAAGACUCGUUUCUUGUUACAAUCCAAUCAUGACUUCCACUAGUAGAGAUCCUCUUCUUCUUCUUCUUCUUCUAAUUCCAAAUUGAGGGACCAUGCGUUCUUGAGUACCCUCAAAAGCUUUUUUGAUCAUUUAUACUGUAUAACCUUACUUGUAAUAACUGUAUAAGAUAUUUGUGCUAAUUGAUAAGAUAUUUGUGCUAAUUGUAUAAAACAUGUCCUUAUACAUCUUGAAUUUAUAAAUUUAUGAAUUUAUGAAUAACCCAAUAAUCAAUGACUUCUUAAUAAAAUUUUUUUAAUUUUGUUGCCUUAAAAGUCAUGUCCCUCCUUUACAAAGCUUCUUAGAAAUUUCAUAUAUUUUUUUUUGUCAUCAUCUAUAUUUCAUAUUUCUUUUUCGUCUUCAAUAUUUGUGUAUAUAUCUAAAAUAAAACCUAUAAGAAAAUGAAAAAUUUACACUUAAAAAGUGUUUAUUUGAAAUUUAGGCAAUGAACUUAAAGGAGUUUGGAAUUACUCCUCGAAGUUGAUAUGUUUGUUUUAAAAUCAAAGUGGAUUUCAAUUUUCUUUAAAUCCACGUUAUGAUAUUACGGUAAUAUGUAGUGUCUUUAAAACCAUGGCUUCCUCUAGCAAUUCUAAGAGACCCUUUUACUCUUCUUCUUCUUCUAAUUCUAAAUGGAGGUACGAUGUGUUCUUGAGUUUCAGAGGCGAGGAUACCCGCAACAACUUUACUAGUCAUCUCUACAAGGCUUUGGAUCAUGCCAACAUUGAAACCUUCAAAGAUGAUAAAGAACUUCGAAGGGGAGACGAGAUUGCACCCGAGCUCCUAAAAGCUAUUGAAGGAUCAAGGAUUGCCCUUAUUAUCUUCUCGAAAACCUAUGCUCAUUCCAAGUGGUGCUUGGAUGAACUCGUCAAGAUCAUGGAGUGCAAGGAAGAAAAGGGACAAAAGGUUUUUCCUAUUUUCUAUCAUGUAGAGCCGUCUGAAGUCAGGAAACAGACUGGGAUUUAUGGAGAAGCAUUUAACAAUCACGAGAGCAAUGCAGACGAGGAGAAGAAGAAGAAGAUAGAGAAGUGGAGGACUGCCUUAUGGAAAGCCGGUAAUUUGAGUGGAUUUCCUCUGCAGGAUAGGUAAUCCCUACAUCGCUUUUUCCAUUUCCCAUUUUCUGUCAGUUUAUUUUCAUUCUUCUUAAUAAAUAAAAUAUUUAUGAUUACAUAUAUCAAUCAAAAUCCAUUUUUAAGUAGUAGACAUUGAUUAAUAUGUUUGAUUUCUUGGAAAGUAAUAAGAAGAGUUAAAAAAAAAUGAUUUUCUUAUAUUUAAUUUAUUAUUAAAAAUAUGAAAGAAAAUAAAAUAUAAUUUAAAUACAUUGGAAAACUAUAAUAGGAAUAAUAUUAGAUAAUGUAUGAUAGCUGUUGUGGGCUCAUUCAGUCACAGCAGGUGAUAACAGUCAAUAAAAUAAAAUAAUUAUCCCAAAUGCCAAGUUUUGAAUUGUUAAAAAUUCUUAAGAUUCCAAAAUGUUCUUAGUUUCUAAUCAAUCCAUUUCAGCCAUAAUUUCUAUCAAUUUAAAAAGAUGGUAGUUUGUCAAAUAAAUUGUUAAAAUUGCUUAUUUAUAUGCUUUGUAAAUUUGGAGGUAAUCUAGGAUGAUUAUUUAGAAAAUUGUAAUACUGCCUUAAAUUUUUCUAGACCCCUCUUAUGGGACAAAAAACUUAGUUAUUAAACCCUUUACCUUUUUCAAUUUUUGAGGAAUUUUCUAUUACUAAAAUAAUUUUCUCAUAUUCUCUAUGAACUACAUGAGUUUACAUUUCUUCUUUCCUUAAUAUUGUUUCUUCCUUUAUAUUUGCAAGUUGAUAAUCAAAUUUAUUUGCCUUUUAAUCUAUUGUUUGUAUCUCGUUUUAUUCUAAUUUUCCAUGACAUCAAGAUAAUUAAUCUCAUCUUAAGACCUUGUCUUUCACAUUGAAUCAUCUAAUGCUAAAAUUAUUCUCUUGCUAUUCUACUUUGUGUACUCAUGGGAUUGAUAUAUUGCAAUCGAAAUUGCAUUUUUUUUUCUCUUUUUCUCUAGUAUGUUCUACAUUCCUCUAUGCCUCAAUUACAAAUAAAAGCAAGUAACCUUAGAGCUUGUUUGACAGUAUUUUUGAAAAUAAUGUUCAAAAAAUAGUUUUCCCCUAGCCAAUUUUGAAAAUAAUGAACAAAAUUUUACUUGAAAAUUCAAAUAUGAAAAAUGUCUUUCUCGACUUAUUAACUAUGAAGGUACUAUAAAUUUAUGUACAAUUUAACAAUUCUCUAAUUAUUAUCUACAUUUUCAAUUUUUGAUCACAAUACUCUAUAAGAAAAUACCUUAAAACAUCUCAAAUGUGCUCUUAAAGAUGAACUUGUUUACCGAACAAAUUUUUGAAAAUAAUUUUUAGUAAAAAUGAAAAUUAAAUAUAUAUUUAAGUUAUAAAACUAUUUUAUAUUCUAAAGAAAAAAAUCUAUUUUCAAAAACAAUAUCUAUACAAGCAUUUUUCUUUUAAGUAUCAUUUUAAAAUCUUUUUCCAUGACUCUUAUUAUUGCUAGGCUUUUGACCAACAAACAAACAUGUGUCACUUUCCUUGUCAUUCUAAUUUAUAUUUGGGAAAAAAAUGGGGAUUUCAUCAAAAUAUGAAACUUAUGUAGCAAUUAUUAGCAACCUAAAUAUAAAUAGAACUAAAGUGAAAAUUUACUUGUUUACAAAAUAAAUAGUUGAAAGUCUUAUAAGCAUAGAGGAUGGUCAUAAGUCAUGGUGUAAUUAAUAAAAGCAUUGCUAGGUUAUGGAACUUGGGUGACAAAUUGGUAGAUUUCUAGCCAAACUAGUACUGGUCUCUAUAAUAAAAUCUCUUAUCAUAAAGGAUAAUGAUACUUUAGAAAGGUCAACUUCAAUUUGGACCUUUAGAAGCAAUUGAGAUAUUUUCAUUAUUUUAUUGAACAUAUACUUGACAUAACAUAAUGAAAUUUUAUUUAAACAUGCGACUCAACACAUUUUUAAUUUACAUUCUAUUUGACCUUAAUUUAGUUGCAUUGAAUGAAACAAAACACCAUUCUAUUAUUUCCAUUUACUUCAUCUUUGUUUUCUUUGGCAAUUCAUUCUAACUCACUGCAUGUUUUAUUAUACUUUAUAAUGGACAGCCCUGAGUCAGAGUUUAUUGAAGAAAUCAUUGGUGAGAUUCGAAGAUUAAUUCCUAAGUUGGUACAUGUUGGUGAGAACAUAGUUGGAAUGGAUGAAAAUUCGAAAGAAGUGAAGUUAUUGAUAGACUCCCAAUCAAAUAAAGUGAGUAUGGUUGGGAUUUAUGGGACUGGUGGGAUUGGUAAAACUACCAUCGCCAAGGUUGUUUACAAUGGUCUGUUAGAUCAAUUUAAGCGUCACAGCUUUCUUGAAAAUGUGAGAGAGAAAUCUAAAGAUGAUCCUGGUUUGCUUGAAUUACAAAAAAAACUUCUUUAUGAUAUCCUCAUGGAGAAAGAUUCGAAGAUAAGUAAUAUUGGUGAAGGAAUAAAAGAGAUAAAGAGUAAGUGUUGCUUUGAAAAGGUUCUUAUUAUUCUUGAUGAUGUAGAUUGUCUAAGACAGUUAGAAUUCUUAGCUCCUAAUUCUGAAUGUUUUCAUCGAGGAAGCAUAAUCAUCGUGACCACAAGAAAUAAACGUUGCCUAGAUGUACAUAAGUCAUAUUCAUCAUAUGAGGCUAAGGGAUUAGCACAUGAGCAAGCUAAGGAGCUCUUUUGUUGGAAUGCCUUUAAGCAACACCAUCCAAAAGACAAUUAUGUGGACCUCUCUAAUCGUAUACUGGAUUAUGCUAAAGGCCUUCCAUUGGCUCUUGUAGUUUUGGGUUCUUUUCU
This 44747-nucleotide long non-coding RNA is filed under the name Vitis vinifera (wine grape). RNAcentral describes it as "long non-coding RNA (VVIN_LNC006290)". The record is from RNAcentral. Lineage: Eukaryota; Viridiplantae; Streptophyta; Magnoliopsida; Vitales; Vitaceae.